UUCCAAUCAAAUGUGGGUUCCACACCCAUAUUUCAAAUUUCUCAACUUUCCAACCAAUAGGUUGAGAUGAGCUAGGGUGCCUCUAGACUUAAAGCAAAGUCCUAAAAUUUACAUUCCAGAGAUAUUGGCACAGUUAAAAUUUUCAUAUGAGAUUGUUUACUAAAUUUUUUAAUAGGUGGCCAUUUGGAACCAUUGAAGACUUGCAAAUAUGGAAUAGGCUCUAAAAACUAAACAAACUAUCCGAUAACUGAACUGUCAACUCCAGCAAGUCAUAAAUUACUUGGGUAGUUAUAGAAAAGAUCUAAUGGUGAAAAUAUGCAAAAAUGUGGAAAAUUACCUCAAUCAUCAUUACAAUAUCCACUACUAAAGAAACUUUUAUCCCUAAAAGUUAAGGAUUAGGAUAAACCUGAAGUCUCAAAUAGGUGAGGAUACUAUGUCCAUAUCUUUCUCUUGAUCUCCCAAGUGGCCUCCUCCACUGGGCAGUGCCUUUACUAAACCUUAACUAUAAGAAUCUUCGUAGUGUGAAACCACUUGGCAUCACUAUCUAAAAUGAACACAGGCUCUUUUACAAAUGUCAAACUCUCAUCCAACUGGACUGAGUCCCAUCAAAGCACAUAAGAUAAAUCAAGAAUAUAUCACCGCAACAUGGAGACAUGGAAAACUGGAUGAACAUAGGCAAAAUAAUAAGGUAGAUCUAACUCAUAAGCUACCUCACCAACUGCCUGAAGAAUAUCAAAAGGUCCAAUAUAUCUAAGACAAAGCUUGGCCUUCCCCUCCGAACCUUAUUACACCCUACAUGGGUAAUACACGAUCAUCAACUCCAAAUCUCAAGGCAUGAAGCCUACGGUCUGCAUAUGCCUUCUACCUACUCUGAGAUGCUCUAAACCAAUCCCAAAUUAUCCUUACUAUAUCCAAUGACUCCUAAAGUAAAUUAGUACCAGAGAGCCUAACCUUGAAACUCUCAAACCAUCCUAUCAGAAAACAAAAUCUAUAAGACUCAAAAGAUGCCAUCUCAAUACUCGAAUGAUAGCUGCUAUUAUAUGUGAACUAUGCCAAGGCUAAGUGAUACUCUCACUGGCCUCUAAAAUCCAUAACACAGGCUUAAAGGAUAUCCUCAAGAACCUAAAUAGUCCGCUCAGACUGGCCAUUAAUUUGUGGAUAGAAAGUUAUGAUAAGAUGCACCUGAGUGCCCAUAUCUUCCUAAUAUUCUAUCCAAAAUAUAUAGGUGAACACAAAACCAUGGUCUAAAAUAAUAGAAAUGGGAAUACCAUGCAAACGAAUUAUCUCCUGAACAUUGAUAUGGGAUAAUCUUUUGGCAUUGAAAGACAUCUGAAUAGGAAUGAAAUAUGAUGACUUGGUCAAAUGAUCUACAUUGACCCAAAUUCCAUAGGAACUAUACGAAGUGUGCGAGGAAAGAUGCUAACAAAAUCCAUGGUUAUCGGCUCCUAUUUUCGUUUGAGAAUGGGUAAUUAAUGAGUCAAAACACCUAGUCGUUGAUGCUCCACUUUGAACUACUUAUAAAAUAGGCAACGAGCGACAAUGUCUACUAUAUAUCUCUUCAUACCACUCCACCAAUAAUGUUUUCAUAAAUCUCUAUACAUUUUGGCUGUGCUAGGAUGAAUGGAAUAUCUGGAAUUGUGAGCAACAUGAAAAAUCAACUAAAUUAAGUCAUCAACCUUCGAACACAAAUACGACCAUCAAAUAUCAAAACACCCUCGAAAUCUAUGGUGUUCCUCUCAAACUUUCCACUCAACACCUGAUCAUUAAGAAAGCGAAACUUAAAAUCCUGAAAUUGAUGAUCUCAAAUCUUCUCAAAUAAUGAUGACUUCUUCUUAACACUAGAAAGAAUCCUCCUAGGGUCUAAAACAUUAAGGAGAAAUAUAAAGUUAUCUAAAGGUUGAAUGUCCCAUGCCAAUGACCUCUGAGAAAUUAAAAUACUAGCCAAGCUUCCCAUGCUCUCUGCCUUUUGACUCAAGUCAUCUGUUACCCAAUUUACCUUGUUUGGAGGAUAUAAGAUCAAGAUAUCAUAAUCCUUAAGCAAUUCCAUCCAUCUAUGUUGUCUAGCAUUAAGCUCUCUUAAGGUUAUAGGAUGCUAUAGACUGCGAUGAUCGGUGAAAAUCUCACAAUGCACAAUAUAAAGAUAAUGCCUCCAAAUUUUAAGCAAGAAAACUACCGCUGCCAACUCCAAAUCAUGAGUAGGGUAGUUGUGCUCAUGCACCUUAAGUUGUCUUGAAGCAUAAGCAAUAACACGACCCUGUUGCAUCAAGAUAAAACCCAAACUAACACCAGAAGCAUCAUAAAGCAUAGUGAAUCCCUCAACCUUAAUAAAAAAAAAUCUAAAAUAGGAGUUGAUGUGAGAAAAUCCUAGAGAUUCCAAAAACUUGACUCAUACUCCUCGGACCAUAAAAAGGGAACUUUCUUCCAAGUCAAUCUGGUCAUAGGGUUUGAAAUAGUAGAAAAAUCCUUGAUGAAGCAUCUAUAAUAACCAGCUAAACCAAUAAAGCUACAAACUACAAUCAAAAGUGUAUGUCUAGCCCAAUCAUACAUCACCUCAAUCUUGGCUAGGUUUACUAUAAUACCAUUCUUAGACACCACAUGUCCAAGGAAUGUCACUGACUCAAGCCAAAAGUCACACUUAUAGAACUUGGUGAAAAGCACAUGAUCUAUCACAGUAUGGAGGAAGAUCCUCAAAUGCUGAGCAUGUUCCACUCGACUUCUCAAAUUCACAAAGAUGUCUUCAAUUAAUACACUCACAAAGGAAUUCGAAUAAGGCAUCCAAGAAACUCGGUUCAUCAAAUCCAUGAACGUAGCUAGGGCAUUAGUCAACCUAAAUGACACCACCAAGAAAUCAUAAUGACCAUAACGGGUCCUAAAGGAUGUCUUCGGCAUAUCCUCAGCCCGAAUCCCCAAUUGAUUGUAACCAGAUCUCAAAUCAAUCUUGGAAAGCACUACUACUCUGUGAUAUUGGUCAAAGAAAUCAUCAAUGCAAGCCAUAGGAUAACAAUUCUUCAUCGUCACCUUAUUAAGUUGCCUAUAAUCAAUAUAAUUAUGCAUGGAGCCAUUUUUCUUCUUCAAAAUUAGUAUAGGAGCUCAAAAACAAAGACAUACUUGGUCGAAUGAAACCCUUACAAAGAAGAUCCUCAAGCUGAGAAUUCACCUCCAUAAGCUUGGCAGGAGCCAUACUGUAAGGUGCCAUAGAAAUAGGUCAGGUGCAAAGAUUAAGAUUAAUAACAAACUCAAUCUCACGGCCUGGGAGAAUACCAAGAAGGUUGAUAGGGAACACAUCAGGGAACUCACAAACAACAGAAACAGAGAUAAGUGAUGAACUCUCCACACUAGUAUCACAAAUAUAAGUGAGAUACAACUCGCAACCAUUAAAAAUAAGCCUCCUAGAAAGAACAUGAGAAAUAAUCCCCGUAGGUUCACAACUAACCACUCCCUACCAUACGGUUAGGAGUACGUUAGGUAGGGCUAAAGACGUCUUGGCAAAACUAUCCAUGAUUACAUUAUAGUUGAAUAACCAGUCCAUGUCCAGAAUCACAUCAAAAUCUACCAUAUCCAAAAUAAUAAGAUCAAAAUAAGUAUCAUUAUCAAUAAUAGUCACAACACAUGAUCAAAGAACUCUAUCUACAACUAAAGAAUCAGCCACGAGAGUAGAUACUCACAAACAUAUAUAAUAAGCCACAAGACAACUCUAACCAUGGUGCAUAAUAAGCAAAAAUAUAAGAACAUGUGGAUCCCAUAUCAAAUAAAGCAAGGGAUGACUAGCGGCACAUAAAAAGUAUACCUGUAACAACAACAUCUGAAGUCUCAACCUCGAAUCUAGCAAGUACUACAUACAACUGACCAUGAACUUGCAAGGCACCUAACCAACCUUCUAUCUUGCCUAUCUGAGAACCUUCUUGAGUACCCUAGAAACCAUCCCUGUGACUAUAAAAACCACUUAUAGCUAAGGGAUGAACUACUUUAAUAGGGAAACACCUUGAGAUGAAGGAACAAUUGCCCUACAAAGAGGGCACUCUCAAGAAUCAUUACUAAGAUCCCCACAACUAUAACAUAAAUAAAAAGAAGAACCAGUACCAAUAGAUUUGGAUGACUCAGAGUAACCACCAUGACUAGAAUAACAAGAAGAUCAAGCCCUAGAAGACUAACCAUCAUCUAGAACAGGGCGGUCUUUAGCACUAGAUUGACCUUCGUUUAUAAUAUGAAGUGUUGCCUAAAUAGGUUAACUAGGCAGACUCUUAAGUCUGAUAGGAUGGAUUUGGAGAAUGCCCACCAUGACAACAACUACCUAUGAAUCGUGAACUACUACGGCUACCAUUGAAAAUACCCUGAUAUUUAGGACUCUUAUAAUUACCUCUUUAUGCCCCAGAUGCAUCUCCUUCAUCGCCCGAGCAUGAUCCAAAACCUCAGCAGACCUACCCACAACAACUAAAAUCUGAGUACAUAUAUAAAUAGGGAGUAUCAACCCACUAACAAAGCAAUGAACUCUCUCAUAUUUAGUAUCCAAAAUAAAAGUCGCAUGUCUAGCUAACUCACGAAUAUGAGCCUCAUACUCUAUAAUUGUCAUAGAGUCCUACUUCAAUCUAUAGAAUUGAUCUUUCAAAUGAUCACUAAGGAUGCAAGGCAUGUACUUCACUAAGAACAUCUCAAAGAACUGAGUCCAACAUAAAGGACAAGAUCCAUCUGGUCAAGAAUCCAAAAAACCUCCCCACCAAUGUCGAGCAGUCAAAUCUAACUAAAUAUGGUGUAUUCCAUACCACGAGUCUUAACAAGGCCUAAAUUAUGGAGCCUAUCCUCAUGAACAAUUCAAAAUUCAUAUGCAUUCUCACUUAAAGCACCAAAAAAACUAGGCAGAGCCAAUCUCAUGAAUCUACCCAAAAUCUGACGCUCCUAAAAAGUCAUAGCAAUUUGUGCAACUACGGUGCAGAAGACACCUCAACUCUGGGAGUUGCAGCUACAGGUUGUGCCCUCACAUUAGAACCACUCUGAUAAGUAGAUUGUGCACCAUUAUAUGGUACAUUACCAACUAUCACCAAAAGAUUAACCAAUGCAUCUUAGAGCACUAACGAAGAAAUAAGGCAUGGUGGAGCCUGGGAUGGUCCCUUGCCCAUCGCUGGUUGGGGUGGAAGAAUCUCUGUCUCAAGAGUAAAAAUAGGACUUGGGAAGGCAUCCUAUGUUAGCCCCUAGCUAGGGACACAUCACAUAGCUUUCCACAACCUUUUGGUCAUCUAUGAAUAGUAGUAGGAUCCAUAGGCUCAAUCUCGGGACCCUCAUCUCAUGUAGUGGUAGCACGUAUCCUGACCAUCUGCAAUGAGCAAUAACAAGGGAAUACUUCUACAAACCAACUCAGACUCAUAGCAUGAUAUGAGUGAAAAGAGUGAAGAACUCUAAACUAUAUCCUAUAUCCUCCAAAAGAUAAGAAAUAAAGUCAUUGUUGUGAUCCGCAAACUCUACUUGACACUUUCUUUUAUACCAACAAUACUGUUGUAUCCUAGGCUCUGAUACCAAUUUUCUAUAACAUAAUUUAUGAGUCAUGAUGAUGCCUACUAAACCUACCGGUAGGUAAGUCAAAACCUAACAUAGAGAUAAUAUGAUAGGUUAAUUUUAUGGAAAAUACCCAACAUGCACGAAUUUCAAGAAUAUAAUAUAUAAAUAAGCUAAUUGUUCAAAAUAGAUAAAAAUAGUUAGUACAAUAUACCAUUAUAUGACCUGAUAGAGCCAGUACAAGAGUGUCUAAUCAUAAUAUAACUUAAUGUCUAGAGUAGUUAACCACAUUUGUCUUGAUAACAAAAGACUAAAUAUAAAAGAUACAGGGAAAUAGGUGACUCAAAAAACAAUAGCUAACCCUAUCUCUGAAAAAGUCAACAUAGAAAGGUCAAUGAUCAACGACAACAACUACUACUUGGAUCUGCACCAAAAAGGUACAAAAGUGUUGUAUGAAUACCAAAGAAAUAAAUACUCAAUAGGCAUCAUCAAUCGGCUGAUCUAAAUUAUGAUAUAAGUAUGAUAAAAUGCAAGAUAACAUAACUAAGUCAAGGUAUAGAAACAAAUGUAAAUCAUUGAUAACGCUCAACUUACAUGUCAAUUUAAGUGUAAGGUAGUCGUUGUUAAUAUAUUUACCCAUCUAAGAGUCAAGGUCGAAUCCAUGAGUAACAAUAUGAGUGACGAUUAAGUAAAGUAGAAAUAAAAGUUGCUUGCUAGGGUUCAAACCUAUGUUACAAGAUGGUUUUGAGGUUUUUAAUGUUUUCAAAUGUGAAAGUAUUUGUUGGGCUUCUAAGGUACUAAUUCAAGACUAACAAUAAUUAGAGUAUAAUCAUUUAAGAUGGAUCUUGGGACUAUGCUUUCCUAGGGGCAAGUUAUGCAUGGGAACAUGAUAAUUUGAUGCAAAUUCUAAUCAUUGAUCAUUUGGUAGGCUAGGUUUAAGGUAUUUGAGGCUAGUUUUUCAACAAAACCUCAAAGAUAUCACUCAUUAACCCUUUCAAGUAAGUAAUAAGUGUGUAAAUUAAAGCCACCGAAUACCUCAAUUGCGUAUCCUUAUUUCUAGGGUGACAUCCAUGGUAUAGUCAACCUCCUAAUCACCCUUAUGUCUAAGAUAGUGAAAAAUUUGCAAGAAAUACCCAUAAAUUAUCCACUAGUGCUUUAGUUCCCACAUCCUUCUUUAAAGGAUGAUGAGGGUUCCUAAAUUUCACCCAGACCCCUAUUUCAAGGAUGGUUUGAGCUUUCAAGAGUUCAUCCAUCUACCCCAUUUAGGUAUUUGGGCUUUCACCCACAAAUCCCACUAAUUUUAACCAAGCAAUAGUAGAACCCAUCAUCAACUAACUAUAAUAUACACAAAUAUAUCACAACCCGUAGACAAUUACAUCUAAUUCUAGCAUAAUCCCAAGAGGUAGAUCUAGCAAAUCAUGAUAAUAAUAAACACAAAUAAACUAAUAUAUCCAUCAAAGUUAACCAUAAGAAAAUAAAGAGAAGGCAUACCACACUUUAGAAUCCAAUGAAUCUUUAAUUGGUGAUGCCAAAUAUACACUUAAAAGUCACUCUAAUAUCUUCUUAGCUUAAUAUUAGUACAAGUUUUGCUCCAAGCUCCAAGAAAUUACAAAAACCCUAAAAUAAUGAUGUGAGGUAGGGUCGUAGAAUGAUGAAAUCCCUAAGAAAUGAUGGAUUUGAUCUUCUUAAAAGGGAAUUUAGGGUUGGGUAUGUGCUUUUACAACUUUGCCCCUGGCUAAAAAUCCUACUAUACCACAAUCGCAUGUGGAUCUGCCUUGAUCGUGGCUCCCAGGUCGCUGAAUUCUUCAAGCGAUCAAAGUCUACUGACUUCUGGACUAACCGUGAUCGUGGUGGACACUUUGUGAUUGAGGUACUCGAGGCCCAGUCUGCUUAUGUUUUCUAGCUUUUGCACUUCUCUUCCCUUUUUUGAUCCUUUUUUAGCUAAAGGUUUCUUCUUUUUCUCUCAGCACCUGUAUAGGUACAAAAUAUGGGAAUUAGUGUAUUUAUCCACAAAUAAGUCUCACUAUUACAUUCAAAUCAUAGUAGUGUGCACAAAUGUUGAAAACAAAUGAGUUACAAACUCACCACUCAUCAACACUCCCAACUUAAAGCUUUGGUUGUCCUAAAGCAAUACUACCUCUUAUCAUAGACAAUGCACAUUUAUUCCUAUAUUAGAUUACCAAAAUGAUCAUGAUGACUUAAACUUGAUUUCUACUGCAAAUAACUCCUCAAACAUGUACAAGACAAUUUUCACGACACCCUCAACAUAAUACCUAAUUUUCAAGGAUGCAAAAUACAUCACAGAGAAAUCAUCCUACAAUUACUAAUACUCAAGAAAUGACUCCUCUUUGACCUGAACUACAUUAUACUUUUUUGUCUCAUUUUUUGGGAGAUGACAAAAUCACCCACCUUAACUUGUUUACAUGCCUUCUUACGAGAAGGAAAAUUCCACUCACCAAGUUAUCAAAUAUGUAACAAGGAAUUUAAGUACAAAAUUUCCUUUCUCUCUCAAGAACUCUCAAUUUUAACAAGUACCAUGACAUAGGCUAGCCCCUAUUUUCAAUUGCCACUACAAUGAAAGUAAAUGGUUGGAGAUCUCGAAAGGCUUUUUGAGCUUGUAAUGUGGGUUUGCAGUAGGGUAGAAUAUUAUUUGGGAUCAAAGUGACUAUACCCUCCUUGAACAUCUAUAUUAAACUUUUUCAUCCAACUUUUGACCAUGGGCCACUUCUUUUAUUUUCACUCUUUAAGCGUGUGCCUACUUUUACUACCUUGAUUCAAUCAUUUUUGGGAAAGUACCUUCUUUUCAACUCUUUGCCUUGUACAUUUCAUGCUUUUCUUUGCUUUCUUGGGUCCCUUCUUUUUCCUAUUCAUUUAUUUAAUUUAGCUCUUAGGUACGAACUUACAACCACCCCAACUUAGAAUUUUAGCCUCAAUUUUUAUUUUAAAGUUGAAGGAGGAUAGGGUUCAAAAGAGGGAUAAGAAAAUUCUCAAGAUUUUUAAUGUAUUUGCCAAAGAAAGAUAUAAGGGCUCAAAGUGGGUGACUAGGGAUAACAUUUAUGCAAGGGUAGGAUUUUUAGGCUAAAGUAGAAUUCUAAUGUCGCAAAGAUGGACGACGAUCAUCUCCCAAAUCAAAUACAAUCAAAAUUAGUUUUGAGAGACUAAUGAUGCAGGUUCUAGAUAGUAAAAGUAUACAUGAGAUUCAAACAAAUAAUCUCACUACACAUGGCAUGCAAAUUCGCCACCAAGGCUCAAUUGCCCCUCCAGCUAGAGACAAAAGUAGAGUAUCUACCAAUUUUCUUAAGUCAAAAAUUUGGAGUCACCGAAAGAGAAAAUUAUUACAGUGUCGCUGACGUCCAUACCGUAGAUUUUUUUGAAAAAAUUUGGAUGAGGCGGAUGUUUGCUUUGCAUUUGCACCAUGCACAAUUUUCAAACCAUGGCAAAAAUUAAAGUUUUGGUCUCACAUUUUGGCUUCGUAUGGGCAAACCAACCAUAUGGCUACUCAUACUUCGGUAAUGGUAUGAGUGCAAUCCCAAAUCCACAAUGCCACUGGUACUUAGACUUCACUUGCAUCUGUGGCUCAAGACCCAAUCAUGACAUUUUUCCCUUAAGAAUGCCGUCACUCAAUCUAUCAUAGGGAAAAGAUCAUCCACCAUCACUAUUAAAAGUAAAAGAGAGCUAGGAAUGAAAAUAGUCAAUUCACAAAAUUUCCAUGCUUCAUGUGAACUAAGUUCAAGUAUUGCAAACCAAUGAAUACACACAAGGGUAGGGCCACACCCCCAACUAAAGGACCUGUAGUGACCUCAUUUCAUAACACAAAAGCUUAAGGAGGGUAAUAGGACUCCCUAAAACUGAAGUGAUAACCAGUGUGCAGGUUGGGUGAGCGAGCGUGAUUAUGGCAUAGGUGGAGCGAUCACAGUGGUGCAAUGGUGAUCCCCUGACCGCAACUGUGGUACUUGAGCCAUUCUGCUCCCCUAUAUUUUUGCAGGGCUUCCACACUUCUGAAGCUUGGUUUUCCCCAUUUUUGGCUUCCAACCUGUCCAAAGCACCUACAAAACAUAAAAACAAAGUGACUUAUUCCAAAAACAUAAUGGUGCAAAUAUGAAAAUGAUGGGUUGCCACCUAUCAAGCGCUUGAUUUAACAUCAUGGUCGAUGCCACGUUAACCAUCAUUUCAUCCUCCACUUAGAAGACUUGAAUUUCCUACCCAAUUUUUGAUCAUUACAUCUUUGAGGUACAAUAGGCAAAUGUAAGGGCAUGAUGACACAUAUUCUAUCACACUACUGCAAAGAAUUAAACUGUUUGCCCAAUUUUGCAUUGAACUUUCGUGUAGGAUCGUUGGGAAAUGAUGAGAUAAUUAGAAGGACACUAAUUGGUAAUCUAUCUUUAUGCUUCUUGGCCUCCAAGAUUGGUGUAUUAGCAUACCUAUUUGGAAAGACAAACUCCAGUAUAUAAGGAAAUAGUUCAUUCUCACCCUUAUUUAAUAUUUGCUUGAGUGGAUAUAUUAUCAUCCAUUACACCGAGAUUAAUGCUGAGAAGUUGUUAGAAUGAGGUCUUUUUUCUAAUUUCGUAGUUGUGUCCAUUUGGUUUCCUUACCCCGAAAUGGACUAGAGUCAUCAUAAAGUAUUUGCUUGGCUUCUUCAUCUUGACUCUAGUACUAUUUCUUCAUUUUUGGCAUCAUCUAUCAUGUUUUGAUUGGUUGGUGGGAAAAUCAGCGAGAGUUCUUCAAUAUAAAGCUCAUUUAGAAGCGAGGGCAUAGUUGAGGUGUUUGAAUGAUUAACUUCCAUGCCUACAUCUUUUAUCUUCAAUAUUACCUCUCCAAGUACCUUGUUGGAUUAGAGUAUAGGAGUUGCUUCGUCCUCCACCGUUGUUGUUAUCUCCAAGAAAAAUUAAAGAAUUUCUUUAAUGCCACUAUUUCUUGUGCUCCGUUCUUCCCUUUCUUCAUCUUAAUACCUAUCAAAUUUAUAAGAAAAACUAUCAUUUAGGUUAGUAUAACAAGGGGACGGGGCAUUUGGACAAUAACUCCAACAUUGUAAAUCAUCCUUCGUUGAUUUCACCCAUUCCAUGAUACCUUGAGGAAUUACUUCAACACAAUUAUUUUUUGUGAUUCGUUCUUCCCUUUAUUUCUCAUAAGACCUAUCAAAAUCAUAAGGAGAACUAGCUACUAGGUUUGCAUAAUGGGGGUAGGCGGCAUUUGGGAAAUUGCUCCAAUGUCCAUCUCAACCACCACAUUGAGAAAACUGUACUCAUAGGAUUUAGAUAGUGCACACAUCUUUCUCUAGGGAGCAUAUCUACAAUCUUACAAAAAAUGGGGUCCACCACAAUAUGGACAUGGAUUGUCAAGAUAGGAUUUCCAACCACCGAACUCAUUUUUAUUCCAGGAUGCCAUAGUAAGAUAUAACAAAAAUAAAGAAAAUCUACCUAACACAAGAAAUGAAACAAAACCACAAACAAAUAAUUACAUGGAUGAAUUCAUGAAAGUAAGCUAAAAUUUCAAACUAACUCAAUAUGCCAAAUUUGUUCCCCGACGAUGGCAUUAUUUUUGAUAACGCUCAACUUUCACGUCAAUUUGAGUGCAAGGUGGUCGUUGUCAAUAUAUUUACCCAACUAGGAGUUGGGGUCAAAUCCACGAAGCGCAAUGUUAGUGACGAUCUAGUAAAUUCAAAAUAAAAGUUACUUGCUAGGGUUCAAACCUAUGGUACAAGAUAGUUUGGGGUUUUUCAAUGAUUUAUAAUGUAAAAGUAAUUCUUGGGCCUCUAAGGGACUAAUUUGAGACUAAGAAUAAUUGGAGUAUAAUCAAUUAAGAUGGAUCUUGGGACUAUGCUUUCCUAGGGGAAAGUUUUGCAUGGAAACAUGAUAAUUCGAUGCAAAUUCUAAUCAUUGGUGAUGUGGUAGGCUAGAUUUAAUGUCUUUGAGGCUAGUUUUUCAACAAAAUCUCAAAGAUGUCACCCAUUGACCCUUUAUAGUACCUAAAGAGUGUGUUAAUUAAAGCCACAAGAUACCUCCAUUGCUUAUUUCUAUUUCUAGCAUGAUACCCAUAGUAUAAGCCACCAUCUAAUCACCCUUAUGUCUAAGAUAGUGAUAAAUUGGAAAGACAUACCCAUAAAUUGUCCACUAUUGAUUUGGUUCCCACACCUCUCUUUAAAGGAUGAUGAGGGUUCCUAAAGUUCACCCAAACCCCUCUUUCAAGGAUGGUUUGAAAUUUCAAGAGCAUGAGACUUUCAUCCAUCAAACCCAUUUGGGUAUUUGGGGCUUUCACGCACAAAUACCAACCAUUUCAAUCAAAAAAUAGUAGAACCUAUCAUUAACCAACUAGAAUCUACACAAAUAUAUCACAACCCACACAUAAUUGCAUCCUAUUUUAGAACUAUCCCAAGAGGUUGAUCUAGCAAAUCAUAAUCAUAAUUAACACAAAUAAACCAAUAUUUCCAUCAAAGUUAUCUAUAAGAAAAUAAUGAGAGGGCAAACUAAAUUUUAGAAUCCAAUGAAUCUUCAAUGGGUAAUGCCAAAUCUAAACUUAAAAGUCACUCUAAUGUCUUAUUAGCUCAAGUUUAGUAGAAGUUUUGCUCUAAGUUCUUAGAUAUUACAAAAAUCCUAAACUACGGAUGGGAGGUAGGGUUUUAGAAUGAUGAAUCCCCAAGAAAUGAGGGUUUUGAGAUUGUUAAAUGGGAAUUUAGGGUCGAUUAUAUUCUUUUACAACUUUGCCCCUUGAUGAAAAUCUCGCUAUCCCUCGAUUGCAUGUGGAUCUUCCUUGAUCGCAGUUUCGUGGUCCUGAAUUCAAGCAAUCGUAGUCUGCUGACUUCUCCAGUAUUUAGCAUAAUAAGUGGCAAACUCACCACUUAUCAAUCAUCUCCAGUAUUUAGCAUAAUAAGUAAUUACACAGGAAUAACAAUAUAACAUAAGGCAUCAACACAUUCCAAUAUCACCAUGUAUAAUAGGUAACAAUACGGGAUAACAACUUAUCAUAGAGAAUCAACACAAGUAAUCACAAAUAUAAAAUUGGCUUCGAUACACCAAUUAGUGCAAAAAAGUAAAUAACUCAUCAGAUACUCCCAUAUGCCUGGAGAACACGCUAAAGGAUAGAAUAAGGAAAUCAACAACCAUUAUAACUAAUUUUCAUCAUCAUUUAUCAAUCAUCACAUAAUUAUCAUAGAUCGGUUAUUUACCAGCAUAAGGCAACCUUAUCAUUAAUUAUACACUAGUCCAUUAAUCAACUUAUCCAUCUCUUAUCACUAUUCAAUUAUCGGCAAGUUAUCUUAUAUCUACUAGUAAUCAUUAAUCAACUAAGCAUAAUUUGUUAACUAGUCAUUUUACCACUAGAGUCCAUUUAUGCUAUGCCAUAAUAUAACAUUUCCUCAUUUUUUGACUUAGCCAAGUUGCUUCAUUCAAUCUCAAACCCCGAUAUCAUUAAUCACUAAAAGCAUAUCAUCAUAGCAUAAUAUGCAUAUCUAGACUCAAACAGGUAAAUACAAUCAAUAGCUAGACUUGAAUUGGUAAAUAAUUAAUAUUCAAAUUUAACCGAUAAUUAUAAUCAAUAGUGUAAUAAUCUUCCUCUAGAAUCAAAUCGAGUAUAUAAUCAAUAGCAUAAUCAUCUUUUAGACUCAAAUCGGGUAUAUAAUUAGUAGCAUAAUUGUCUUCCAGACUCAAAUCAGGUAUAUAAUCAAUAGCAUAUUAACCUUUCAGACUCAAACCAGGUAUAUAAUCAAUCACAUAAUUAUAUUUCAGACUCAAACUGGGUAUAAAAUCAAUAAAUUAAUAAUAACAUAAGCAAUAAGCGUCAACCCUCACUUUAACCAACAUAGCCACUAAGUAUCAAGAUAACUCAAUAUUUCCUCAAUACACAUCUCCAAGAGUUUAAUAAGCAUAUAGGUUUAUAAAACUAACAUGUGUCAUAACCUAAAGUGGGAUAAGAGUUCGCUCCUAAUUCUCAAAAUUCAUAUUAGGCAAGUUCUACCUGAAUUAGGAUUAAGGUAUCAAAAUCCACUUUUAGAUCCUAAACUAGCCAUAAUUUGCCCUACGGUACAGAUCCUUCCCAAACACAUUAAAUAAGUCUAAUGGAACUAAGACAACCUUCAUUAGUGUAACUAACUAAGGCUAACUUACCCUAAGCAUGAGUAACUAGAGAAUUUUUACUAAAUCCUGAGUGGUCUAAGGCAUUGUCAAGCUAAACAUGAGUAAUGAAGUCCAAUUCACCUAAAGAAUAAAGAAACAACCUAAGUGUCCAACUCUACGGUUUCAAAAUGGCCUAAACGAUCCAACUAACCCAAGUAUUCCAUUUCAUAAAUCCAACACCUAAAACCCAUCACAAACCUAACAAAAUAUCAUAAGAACACUAUUAAAUAGGUCAAUCAAACAAGGGAUAAACUUAGUUUACCUCUAUGCUGAAGAAAACUCAAUGAACUGCUAAACCACUGAUUUUUCCUUUCGAGAAGCCUUUUAAGAUGCCAAGUAUCAAAAAAACAUUCUACACAUCAAUACGAGAAUAUUUAUUCCCAUAUUACACUAUUGUGCUUCGGUUUCAAAAACUAUACCAAAAACCCCCACGUAGGUCUCACUUAUAGAAAUCACAUUUUUGAAACCAAUCCAAUAUUUUUAUAAGCUCAACUAAUCAUUACCCUAAAAAAUGGGUGAAAAUAAAGCUAAACUGGGACUUAAAUCAAGCCCUAAGGGUAAUGGGGGUUUUCAGUAAGAAAAGAAGAAAUUUUACCUAGAAAAGGGUGAAUUCUUACCUUAAGUCGGAAGAUAAUCACAAAAAUGAAUGUUAGUCAAACUCCGAAGUGAUACGACCUGUUUGGGGGCCUUGUCGUAAUAGGUGUCCCAUGUCUGACCGAGAUCAGAGACCACCCUUUUACCCAACCCAACAUCAAAUCGCCUGCCCUGAGUUGGUUGAAUUCCGAGCAUAUAAUAAGAUAGUGUAACAACUCACAUGAAGACUCUAUGAUAGGAUCACAACCAUGACUAGCCCAACCGAAUCCAGCCAUCCCACAGCAAUAGUCUGACCGUACCAAACCAUUCCAAAGGCCAUAAAGCAAGCCAUAACCCAAUAAGUUUAAAAAUAGAAUAAAAUUAAAUGCAAAAUAAAAUAUGAUGGAACAACCAAUAAUAUCAUAAAUCAGUAUCAUCCCCAAGACCAUUGCCAAUGCUAAGGCUUGCACCAAUACUAAUCCUAUUAAUUCCAACCCAUAGCAGUACCAAAAAGCCUCUAGCCAAAAGAGUAACUAAAUCUGAUUGGGAUAUGCCCCCGACCAUGGCCAAAAAUAAUAUCCAAAAUAAAAUUAAAGUGUCUAGAAAUAUCCAUAUCAUGAAAUGGAGUCUUUUAAAAGGAUGGAAGCUCAUCAAUUUAAUCUAAAUGAUGAUCCUUAAUCAAUCCUUUUAGAGGAUGAGUAGAAUGGAUAAUUCUUGCAUAAUGUGGGUAUACAGUCGCCAGUAGACAGGUUAGCGGGUGAAUGCUACCAUGAUAUCUGGAUAAGGAUUAAAUAAUACCAUUUAUAAAGUUGACUAAAAACCAUGCAUAUUCACACAACCAUAUAUAUAUAUAUAUAUAUAACCAUGUUGGGAAAGAGAACUAGGUUUAGCAUGCAUUUAAAACCUUUACUUGGGUUGUGUAGCUUUGCCAUCCUAUGCCAUCCACGGCUAUAUGGGUUCAGCUCCCCCUAUUGAAAGGGCCCCAGUGCAUGAAGCCGCAUGACCAGGGAAGAAAACUUGGGUUGACUAGUACAUCUCCGAAAAUAUAGUGUGACAUCAUGAACACGAUCACUAUGACCAACCUUACAUCGACAAAUAUAAGUUUCCAAUUUUUAUCCCCUCGAGACCUCCACCUUCUAUGACUUUGCUACAUAUCCCGCCAUUAUUGCCCAAUUAAAACCAUUACCAAGCAACCAAUCAAUUCAUUUAGCUUUUAUUUACCAAGGCCAUUUAGUAGUGGUAUCGUCAUACUGAUCAUACUUGAAAGUACUAUCCAUAGCCAACCAUAUGUAGGGUCAAGGAGACUUCCAAGUGCCUUUCCAUUUACCAUAUUAAACCACUUAGGGGAAUGCAUAUACCCCACAAGCAUAACCAUUUAGACAUUUACCUUUCCAAGCCAUUUAAACCAUGCAUAAUUCCUUUACCAAGUUUUAAAAUAAGCAAGAGUUCCUUUAAAAGUACUCAAUCCAAUAAAAACAUUAUUAUAGUCAUUUUUGUUAAACCCAUUGGGGCAUAAUAUAACCAAAAAUGAUUCCAAUUACCAUUAAACCAUUCCCAUGCAAUCCAAAUAUCCAAAAGUACCAUUAAUGUACAUAAAGCAUAACUAAACCACGAAAAACCAUAACCAACCAUUUAAUAUCAAAACCCCCAAUUCAUAUUUGAAAACAAAAAUAAAACAAUCAAUGAAGUCAUGAAAACAUUCAUAAAAACCAUUCUUAUAGUGAGAAUUAAAAAUGAGGGAAGAGAACACGCCUUAAACCAAGAUGAUGAUCGAAAGAGAUCACCAAGACAAGGCCCAAAUUAAUACUCUAGUUGAAACCCUAGCAUCCCUUUCCCAAAAGUUUUUGAGAGAAUUAUAGAGUAUUUUAAAAGAGUUUUCUAAAUGUUAAUAAAUGGAAUAAUAGGGUAAAUAACCUCCCAAGUAGGUUAGAAAUUGUGGGACCUUAUUAGAAUAAGUGUAGAAAUAUCCAGAAUACCCUCACUUAAGUUGCACAAAAAACCCAUCAUAGGGGUACGACUGACCCUCAUGAGUCGUACCCUACAAUAUGAUUGGUACACUCCACUUAUAUCCUAGCCUCAACCUUUGGAUCCAACACUGUCCUAUGUACGACGUAUCCAACUAAGUCACAUCCGAAGUAUAUGAUCUGUACCUUUCAUCCGUAUCCUCGACAAAUUAAACCCAAGGAAAAUUUAGAUACUAUCCACCAUACGAGUGCAUAGUAAGACUCAUACCCUGGCUUACAGCUCAUGAUAACCACUUGUACUCAGAUCCAACCUAAGUAACCAAGUCUAAAAUUAAGUUAACAAACCAAAAAAUCUAUACCUACUAAUAUUACUCAUAUGUCUAAGUCGUAUACAUUCUUGUAACAAAAAUCUAUCCCACCAACCAACACUAGUAAGAAUAUGACAGGACUAUACUAUUUAUAUCCCAUUAUCUAGCUCGUUCCCAUGAGUUGUAUUGGGUCCAGAGACUAGAAUUCAAGGAAUUUUUCUAAGGGUCAAAACCCAAGGUAUUAUAGUCUCCCCCAUUAGGAACAUUCAUCCUCGAAUGACAGACAAGGUAGGGGUAACCACACAAAUGAGUCAUUUGUGUUAUAAAUAUAUUCCUAAUAUUUAACAAAGUUUGAAAACAAAGAGGCAAGAUAUGAAUCUUUACUUUAACAAACUCAUAAAAUAAAGAUGUGUUGAAGACACAUACCUUCCACAUGUUUCCCAGGAGUAGAAAACAAAAGAAGAUAUUGGGACUUUAUGUUCUCCUUCGCUUCCCAAGUAGCCUCUUCCACCUUAUGGUUCCUCCAUAGAACCUUAAUCGAGGCCACAUACUUGGUCUGCAAUAUAUGAACCUGCCUAUCCAAGAUCCUUAUUGGGUCCUCUUCAUAAUAUAGAGAGUCUGAGAUAACCACCCCUCUAAACACACAAUCGAAGAAGGAUUACUAAGACACUUCAUUAACUUGAAAACUUGAAUGAUCGGAGAACCAAGAUCAAUCUAGAAGGAAACUCCAAAUCGUAAGCCACAUUACCAACUCUCUGCAAAAUCUCAUAAUGACAAAUAUAUCGGGGACUGAGCUUCCCCUUCUUACCAAACCGUAUGACUCCCUUCAUGAGAGAUACCUUGAGAAAAACCUUAUCCCCAACCUCAAACUCAAAGUCUAUAUGCCUAACAUCCACAUAGGACUUUUAGCAAAUUUGGGCAGCCUUAAGCUUAUCUUGAAUCACCAUCACCUUUUCUAUAUCCUAGUAAACCAAGUUAGGAUCGAACAAUCCACCUCACAAAGCUCAAACCACCCAAAAAAGAUCUACACCUUCUACCAUACAAUGCCUCAAAAGGGGUCAUUUCAAUACUUGAAUGAUAGCUAUCAUUGUCAGAAAACACCACCAAAGGUAGAUGCUCAACCCAAUUGCCACCAUAAUUAAUAUCACAACCUCAAAGCAUAUCCUCAAUGUUUAAAUAGUUCUCUUCGAUUGCCUAUCCAUUUGUGGGUGGAAAAUGGUACUCAGACUAACCUUAAUCCUUAACUCUUUUGGGAAAAAUUGCUAGAAGUGAGAUGUAAACUGCGUGCCAUAAUAAAAAAUAAUCAAAAUAGGUACCCCAUAUAGCUUCACAAUCUCCUGAAGAUACAUCUUUGCAUAAUCCUCUGUCGAGAAGGUAAUCCGCACUGGCAAAAAAUGGGCAGACUUAGUCAUCUUAUCUACAAUGACUAAAUCGAAUUAUAUUGAUUCUGAGACCAUGAAAGACCGGUAACAGUCCAUAUUGAUCACUUUCUAUUUCCAUUCAGGAAAAUUAAUUUCUUGAUACAACCCUCUUGGCCUCAUGUGCUCAACAUUAACCUACUGAUAUACCAUCUAUGUUUUGAUAAAAUCAGCCACACCCCUCUUCAUGCCAUUUUACUAAUAGAUCUAUUUGAGAUCAUGAUAUAUUUUAGUCGAGCUGAGAUGAACAACAUGCAAUUCAAGUGCCUCAACUAAAUCUUUUGUUGUAAUCCGUCGACAUCAGGAACACACAACCUCUCUCGGUACUAUAAAGUACCAUUACCAUUAAUCUCAAACACCACUACCUUUUGUCCACCAAUGCCAUUUUUUUUCAUUAAGAUAGAAUCCAACACUUGCUUCUCCUUAAUCUCUGCACCAAGAGAAGAUCAAACCACUUCUUACACCACCACAUCAACAUCCUUGGAGUGCAAGAGGCGAACUCCAAGAUUAGCUAAAUAGAGAAUAUCCUUCACCAAUUCCUAAUUUCCUUCCUCCACAUAAGCCAAACUCCUUAUGGAUAACUUGCUAGAGCAUCACCAACUACUUUAGCUUUACCUGGGUGGUAGUAAAGACUCAUAUGAUAGUCUUUGAGAAGCUCAAACCAUCUUCUCUGCUUGAGAUUAAGUUUUUUCUAUGUGAACACAUACUGUUGACUCUUAUGAUCAAAAAAGAUAUCCACGUAAACAAAAUAUAACUAAUGCUACCAUAUUUUCAAAUCAAAUACAACCUCCAACAACUCCAAAUCAUGAGUAGGAUAGUUUCUCUCAUGUACAUUCAACUGCGUAGAAGCAUAGAAAAUCACCUUCACAUGCUGUAUCAACAUACAACAAAGCCCUACUCUAGAUGUAUCACAAUAAACCACAAACCCAUCUUUGUGUUUUGGCAAAUUAAAAAUUGGAGCUGAAGUUAACUUAUCUUUCAACUUCUAAAAACUCCCUUCACAAGUAUCCAACCUAAACAACUUGACCUUCUUAUGAGUCAACAUAGUCAAAGGAGCAACUAUCAAUGAAAAUCUUUCCACAAACAACCUACAAUACCCGGUUAAGCCUAAGAAGCUUUGAAUUUUGGAUGGAGCCAUGGGUCUAGGACACUUUUUCACCAUAAUGACCUUUUGUGGAUCCACCAUGCUCCCCUAAAUAGAAAUACUAUGACCUAUGGAAUUUAUAGCAUUCAACCUAAAAUCACAUUUAGAGAACUUGGCAUACAAUUGUUGUUCCUUUAAGGUUUGGAAUACCACACAGAGGUGAUUAACAUGAUCCACUCACUAUUUGAAUAAACCAGAAUGUUAUCAAUAAACACAAUAAUGAGAAGAUCUAAAUACAGACGAAAAACCCAAUUCAUUAGAUCGAUAAAUGUUGUCAGAGCAUUAGCAAACCCAAAUGAUAUUACCAAAAUCAUAAAGUACCCAUAUCGAGUACAAAAAUCCAUAUUAGGGAUAUCUACCUCCCUAAUCUUAAGUUGAUGGUACCACAAUCAAAGAUAUAUCUUAGAAAAAAACUUGGAAAAUUACAACUAAUCAAAUAGAUCAUCUAUCCUUGGAAGAGGAUACUUGAUCUUGACCAUCACCUUAAUCAACUGUCUAUAGUCAAUGCAUAUCCAAAGGAAACCAUCUUUCUGGCACACAAACAAUACUGAUGCACCCUAUGGAGUUAUAGUAGAACAAAUAAACCCCUUAUUCGAAAGACCCUUAAGUUUCUCAUUCAAUUUUCUCAACUCAGCCGAGCCAUUCUAUUUGGAGGAAUAGAAAUUAGAUGAGUGUCCGAAAGUAGAUCAAUACCAAACUUGAUUUACCUAUCCUAAGGAACACUAGGAAGAUCAUUCAGAAAGACCUCUGAAACUUAUUAAAAACUGAAACUAAUAGGAAAGAAAGACUGUGCGAGUUAGAAUCUUUAACUCAGAUAAUGUGAUAAAGAUAACUUUUAGACAUUAACCUCCAAGCUCUAAGAUAAGAAAUAAAUAUCCCCCUAUGAGCUAAUGAACCAUACACCUAUUCUAUAAACAACUCACCAGGGAACCUAAAGAUAACUCUAUGAGUCUGACAAUCAAAGGAUGCAUAAAAAGAGUACAAUCAACCCAUACCUAGAAUGACAUAGAAAUCCACCAUACCUAAUAUAAAUAGAUCCAGCAAGGUCUUCUUACCACCAACAGAUACCAAAAAUCCCCUAUAGACUAUCUUAGCAAUAAUCCAAUCACCUACCGCCUAAACUGAAACACCCAAGAAUAUGGCCUUGUAAGAAAAUUUUGGUUUUGAGUACGAUGACUAAGAUACGAUUGGACAAUCCAAUUGUACCCUUAGAUAUGGGUUGUAUACACUCUCCACUCCCCUUCUUUUAUAAGUGAAACCUAAUAAGGUAUCUCACUUUUCUCUAUAUGACUUAACAUCCCCUUUGUCUUAACCAAUGUGUACGAGUCAUAACCUACAUGAUCAUAUAGAGUAAAGUUUUAACUUAAGUGGAUUAUUUUCUAUACAGAUAAAGUUUACAAGUUAGAGGUUGAGUCAUACACUUUGGUUAUGACUUAAGGGUGUCCACUCAUACCUUUAACAAUAUAGAUGACCUAGGAGGAGCCUAGGAUAAGAUUAUUUAGGGAUCGUAUGGAAGAAUCGUACCCCUGGGCGGGUCAUUUUCCAACUUUUAACAAAGAGCCUUUUUGUUAUUUCACAUGCCUUAAGCAAUAAGCCCUCUCACUAUAUAAGUGUGUUUAGCCUCAUAAGCAUCUAUAGGGAUGAAUCAAAUACCUUAAACACUCUCUCAAGCUCAUUCUUAGAAGAUUAGAGGCUAGGGUUUCAAUGGAGCUCAUCUAGUGGGAAGAAGAAGUCUAGUUCUUGGUGAUUUAAGUUGUUUAAGGAAUCUAUCUCUUCCUAUUCUCAAAUAACUCUAAAACCUAUAAAUUUCACACUUGAAUUAGUAAUCAUACAUGGUAAUUUUGAAAUCAAAUGAAAAGGUUUUUGUUUCUAAAUGAUGAACAAUGAUGAUCCCUACUUAGACUUGUGUUAUUCAUGUUAUUAAUGAUGAUUUGCAUAUGUGGAUGCUUCUUGUAUAUUGUCUAACAUGUGGUUCUUGAGUAAACCCAAAAUUAAUGAUUUCUACUAUGCAUAUAGCCUUGUUGAAGGUAUGUACAUAGGGUUUUUGUAAAAAUAUUUAAGUAAAUAGUCUAGCCAUAUGCUUGUGUAUUUUGAACUAGGGUAAUGGACUAAUAAGCAUGAAUGAAUGAUAGAUGAUAUUGUAAAGCCACUUUGAACCAUGUUUUACUAAAUUUAUGAAAUUAUUGGGUUAAUAACUAAUAAGGGAUUGAAGCCCUAAACAUGAAAAUGAGCUUGAUUUGGGUGUAGAGUUUAAAUACAAUGAGAAUAUAGUGAGAGAUUGAUAAUAAACUAUGAAUGGUCCAAUCAGUAUCUAUAGAAUUGGUCUAAUAAACAUGAGUGAGUCAUGAUAAGGACUAAAUAAAUGUAAAUACUUGUAGAUGGUUGGUAAAGGCCUUAUUAGCCAUGCAUUAAGUUAUAAUGAUUGUAAAUUCUUUGUAAAUGCUUUAUAAAAACCUUGUUAAUCAUGUAAUAGACUAACUUAUUUAUUUAAAUGGGAUGAUGGUCCUAUAAGUAAGAAUGUUUAAUAUAUGGGAUUGUGUUAAGAAUGUUUAAUAUAUGGGAUUGUGUUGAUAUUAUUAGCUACGUAAUUUUUUAAUCUAUGACCUUGUUGGUUUAAUGGCUAAGAAGAGGGGUCCAAUUCCCUAAGUUUGAACUUGAAAUUUUGUGUGCGAAACUAAAAUGUGGUGUAGAAGUGUUAAUGAAUAAUAAAUGAGUUAGCAGGGGUCUUGAUGACCGCCGAUUGAAUCACUUGAUGGUUUGAAUUAAGGAAUCAGCCAAUUGAAAUGGUUCAACAAUAAUGGCUACCAUAAGGACCUCAUAGUCAUGUAUAAUGUUUAUUUAGCUAAAUUAGGUAAAGUCCUUAAAACGUGAAAUGAAUUAUAUCGGUGUCAAAGCAUGAACCAAUUGACAGAAAAUUCAAAUAUUGGCUAAUGAUACUAAUAUGAUGGCUUAUGGCUAAAGUCCCUUACCUUAUGAAAUGACUUGUGGUUAUAUUCCCUCGUCAAAUGACUUGUGAUUAGAAUCCCUCAUCAAAUGAAUUGUGGUUAGAGUCCCUCAUCAAAUGACUUGUGGUUAGAGCCCUUCAUCAAAAGACUUAUGGUUGGAGUUCCUCAUCAAAAGACUUGUAGUUGGAGUCCAUCAUUUAAUAAUAUGUGGUUGAAGUCCCUUUCUUAAAGAUAUCUUUUGAGGUUAAAGUACCUCAAAUAUGGAUUGGUGUAUGAUUAGAGUUCCAUGCCCGAUCGGAUGUAGAUAAGCAUAUGAUUAGAGUUCCAUGCCAAAUUGAAUAUGUGAGCAUGGAAUAAGAGUUCCAUGCCCAAUUGAAUGUGUGAGAAUAUGAUUAGAGUUCCAUGACUAAUGGUAUAUGUGAGCAUAUAAUUAGAGUUUCAUGUUUAAUUAUAUAUUUAAACAUGUGAUUAGAGUCUCAUACCUAAUUGAUUGAGUGCGUAUGGAUAGAGCCCUUGCUAUAAUGCAUAAAUAUGUGGUUAGGAGUCCCUUGUUUAAUGAAUAUACCCAUGAUUGAAGCACUUUGACUAAUUAUAUGUGAAUGUGAUUAAAUUUCUAUGCAUGAUAUGAAUGAGUUGAAACCUAAGUGUACAAUUUAGACUCCUUCACUUUAUGCCUCAUGAUUGAAGGAGUUGAGAACGUGGUUAAGUAUGGAUAUCUUAUUGGCAUAUGAUAUAUAUAUAUAUAUGUAUGUAUGUAUGAAAGGAUAAAUGUGUAAAUAUGAUUGACUAAAUUUAGGAUAUUGUUGGGUUAAUAACUAAUAAUGGAUUGAAGCCCUAAACAUAAAAAUGAGCUUGAUUUGGGUGUAGAGUUUAAAUGCGGUGAGAAUAUAGUGAGAGAUUGUUAAUAAACUAUGAAUGGCCCAAUCAGUAUCUAUGGAAUUGGUCUAAUAAACAUGAGUGAGUCAUGGUAAGUGCUAAAUAAAUGUAAAUACUUGUAGAUGGUUGGAAAAGGCCUUAUUAGCCAUGUAUUAAGUUAUAAUGAUUGUAAAUUCUUUGUAAAUGGUUUAUAAGAACCUUGUUAAUCAUGUAAUGGAUUAAAUUAUUACUUUAAAUGGGGUGAUGGUCCUAUAAGUGUGAAUGUUUAAUAAAUGGCGUUGUGUUGAUAUUAUUAGCUAUGUAAUUUUUUAAUCUAUGACCAUGUUGGUUUGAUGGCUAAGAAGAGGGGCCCAAUUCCCUAAGUUUAAACUUGAAAUUCCGUGUGCAAAACUAAAGUGUGGUGUAGAAGUGUUAAUGAAUAAUAAAUGAGUUAGUAAGGGACUUGAUGACCGCCGAUUGAAUCACUUGAUGGUUUGAAUUAAGGAAUCAGCCUAUUGAAAUGGUUCAGUAAUGAUGGCUCCCAUAAGGAGCUCAUGGUCAUGUAUAAUGUUUAUUUAGCUAAAUUAGGUAAAUUCUUUAAAAUGUGAAAUGAAUUAUAUGGGUGUCAAAGCAUGAACCAAUUGACAGAAAAUUCAAAUAUUGGCUAAUGAUACUAAUAUGACAGCUUGUGACUAAAGUCCCUUACCUUAGGAAAUGACUUGUGGUUAUAUUCCGUCAUCAAAUGACUUGUGAUUAGAAUCCCUCAUCAAAUGAAUUGUGGUUAGAGUUCCUCAUCAAAUGACUUAUGGUUAGAGCCCUUCAUCAAAAGACUUGUGGUUGGAGUUCCUCAUCAAAAGACUUGUGGUUGGAGUCCCUCGUCUAAAAACUUAUGGUUGAAUUCCUUUUCUUAAAGAUAUCUCUUGAGGUUAAAGUACCUCGAAUAUGGAUUGGUGUAUGAUUAGAGUUCCAUUCCCAAUUGAAUGUAGAUAAGCAUGCGAUUAGAGUUCCAUGCCUAAUUGAAUAUGUGAGCAUGCAAUAAGAGUUCCAUGCCUAAUUGAAUGUGUGAGAAUGUGAUUAGAGUUUCAUGCCUAAUGGUAUAUGUGAGAAUAUGAUUAGAGUUUCAUAUCUAAUGAUUUAUUUAAGCAUGUGAGUAGAGUCUCAUACCUUAUUGAUUGAGUGUGUAUGGAUAGAGCCCUUGCUAUAAUGCAUAAAUAUAUGGUUUGGAGUCCCUUGUUUAAUGAAUAUACCCAUGAUUGAAGCACUUUGACUAAUGAUAUGUGAAUGUGAUUAAAGUUCUAUGCCUGAUAUGAAUGAGUUGAAACCUAUGUGUACAAUUUAGACUCCUUCAUUUUAUGCCUCAUGAUUGAAGGAGUUGAGAAUGUGGUUAAGUAUGGAUAUCUCAUUGUCAUGUGAUAUAUAUAUAUGUGUGUGUAUGAAAGGAUAAAUAUAUAAACAUGAUUGAAUGCAAUACAUUGACUUAUGUAAAAAUGAUUGUAUAUAAUGAUUUGACUUGGAUUGAACAACUGUUCUAUUUAACCUUAUCCUUGGGUUACAUGAUAGUUCUCCAACCGCUAACUAUCUCUGGAUGCUAUUUCCCCAUAUGACAUAGGGGCCGUAGCAUCUUCUUUUUUUUUCUUCUACUUAUACAUAGUGAACAUGUGUUCGUGUAGUUCGGGCAUCGACCUUGUAGUGGUGAGUUUCCAUACUUUGGAAGGACUACCUUUCGUAGUCACAUUAUUUUAUGUUAUAGACUUGUAUAGAAUUAGUACUUGGCUAUUGUUGGGGCCAUGUCAUGAUAAAUUAUUUACUUCAAUUUGGUAUAGGUUUUGUGGAUGACUGUGGACUUGGGUAUUUUGGAUAAAUGGUCAACAUUAAUUAAAUGUUAGUUAUUGUCUAAUUGUUGACUAUUAGCCUUAUAUUUUUUCUAUCUUAUUAUAAGGUCAGAAUUUAUUUAACCCUCAUAGUUGUUUUGAUGAUGAUUAGGUUAGGUUAUACGGGCGACCUUCAGUUCAAGUGAACUUGAGGUUCCCAUAUGACAUGGACCAAUUUUUGGGCAUGUCUAGUUGGUAUCAAAUCCUAGGUUCAUCGUCAGUUGGGAGUCCACAAAUCCAUGUCAAGUAGAGUCUCUUUUAUGGGUGUUAAAUGCGCCAUACAUAUAAGAGAGGAGCUAUGAGGCAUUUAGGAAUAUUUCCCUUUCUUGUGUUUUAAUUCAAGUUAUAUAGAGUCUAAGGUCUUCGAUUCCUCUAAUUUCUGCUUGAUCGUCUUUUUGAUCAUGUAUCAAAUAAGAUUUGACGUUCAAGCAAGCUCUUCUAUCCCAAGUAAGGGAAAUAUGUAGACAUCUCAUCUAAAUUCUGGGAUUCAAACAUGGUCAAGGGUCAUAACUUCUAACUUUCCUCAUGGAACUCCACCUAUUCUCACUAACCCUACUAUUGGGGUUGGAACUCCCCCCAGUUACCUUAAAAUGCUGGGUUCGAUCACUCUUUUGCUUAGUUAGCUCAGUUUUGUGAAAGUGGUCCCGGAGGAAGUAUUGGGCAGGUCUUGGUUUUAUUUUUGUAGUUAGUUCUCCCACAUGAACCCAUUCGGAGUUGAGCACCUUCAAAUUAAUAUUGAUCAUAGGGAACAAGGUGCCCAACAUCAGGUUAGUAGGGCCCAAUCCUCAUUUACCUAUCCUCCUUUUUGGUUUUACGAUCGAUCACACUGUGGUUGUUGCAUCGGGAUGGGUCUUAUUUAUGACCUAGGUGUUUAUUAUGAAUCACUCCGUACCUAUAGUGUCGUGUCUCUAGUGAGGGUCUUGCCUUGAGCAGCGAAAGUAGUUCUUGUGCUUUAGUUCCUCCGUGAUGCUUCUUGUGUUGGUUAGCAGCUCAGAGAGCUUGGUGAUGUUUGGAAAUGGGAAGUGUAGAAGUUCAUAAGUGGAGGGAUAUUCUAGGUUGUUUUUUAUGGCAUUGUAUAGUACGAAACAUUGUUCUCCCACUUAUUGGUAUGAAGUUGAUAGGGGUAAGUUACUUUACCCCAAUUUCACCAUCCUUAGAGAUGGUGGAGGUGAUUCAUGAGAGGUUGAAAACUACUUAAAGUCACCAAAAUUCUUAUGUGCAUAUGUGUCAUAGGAGUUUAGAGUUUUGUGUUAGAAAAUGGGUAUUCUUGUAGGUGUCUAUCAUGAAGUGAGUGGUACGAGUCAGUAAUAAGGCGGAGCUUAGUCUUUGUUAUGUUAGUCCCUAUUUGGUCUUGAAGGGGGUAUUAAUAUUUCCUAUAAGUUGGAGUUACCUUCUAGGUUGAGCUCCAUUUUCCCAUGUUUUUCAUGUUUUUAUGUUGCAAAAAUGCAUAGAUGAACCUUCAUUAAUGGUUUUCCCUUAUAGGGCAUUGCUAUUAUUUUGUUUCUUGCUUUUUGAGGUGAUGCCAAUGAGGAUCUUGGGAUGGUAGGUUUUCCAAUUGCCAAUGAUAGGAGUGGCUUUGGUGAAGGUUCCAUGGGGGAACCAAUAGUCAGAGAAAGUUACUUGGGAGGUGGAAGUGGACAUGAAUUCCAAGUAUCCAUAAUUGUUUACCAUUUUGGAAACUCAUGCUUAAGAUGUGCGAUGCUGUUCCUAAUGUGGUAUAUGUCUUUGGUAGAAGAUGGGUGAAAAUCGGAUGCUUAGAAAUGAUUAAUGUUCUUGUUAGAUAAGGAUUUAAUUUCCCAAUGUUUGAGUUGCUUAAUAUCCUUGAGAGUCGAUGAGUUUAAGCCCUAAGCUUUGGAUUGGUAAACUAUUUUGAUGAAUGAUAGGAUUCAACUCCAAAGAUCUAUGAAAUGAAAUGGUUGAUUGACGAUGAUGAUGAUAUAUGUUGUGUUAUAACCUUGUUGUGUGCUUGGUUAAUAUUUGUUGAAGGUUCAUUCAGUGUUUACUAAUGUGUUAACUUGUGUUCAUGCUUCCUUGCCCAUCAUUCAUGGAUGAAUGAUCCUAAGUGGGGGAGAAUGAAACACCCAAGAAUGUGGCCAUACAAAAAACUUUUCGUUUUAAACAUGAUUACCAAGAUACGAUUGGACAAGCCAAUCGUACCCUUAGAUAUGGGUGGUAUCCAUUAUCCCCUCGCUCUCUCUUAUAAGUGUAUCCUAGUAGGGUAGCUCACUUUCCUCUAUACGACUAGACCUCCCCUUAGUCAUAACAAAUGUAUAUGAGUCAUACCUUACAUUAUCGUAUGAAGUAAAGUUUCAACUUGAGUGCAUUGUUUUCUAUAAAGAUGAAGCUUUUGAGUUAGGAGUUGAGUCAUACCCUUUGGUUACAGCUUAAGGGUGUCCACUCAUACCCUUAACAGUAUAUAUUACCUAGGAGAAGCUUAGGGUACGAGUAAGGGUACUACUUAUACCCUAGGGUACGAUUACUUAGGGAGUCAUAUAGGUGACCCGCACCCCUAGGUAGGGUAUUUUCAACCUUUUAAUUGAAGGCCUUUUUAUCAUUUACCCUUCCCUAAAACUUAAGCCCUCUAUGUCUAAUUGAAUAAGUUAGCAUGUGAUUAGAUUCUUAUGCCUAAUUGAUUGUGUUCGUAUGGAUAGUUCCUCGCUACAAUCGAUAAAUAUGUGGUUUGGGGUCCCUUGUUUAAUAAAUGUACCCAUGAUUGAAGCACUUUGUCUAAUGACAUGUUAAUUUGAUUAAAGUUUUAUGCCUAAUAUGAACUAGUUGAACCUUAGUGUGGAAUGCUAGAGUCCUCCAUUUUAUUCCACAUGAUUGGAGUAGUUGAGAAUGUGGUUAAGUAUGGAUAUCUCGUUGGCAUAUGAUAUAUAUAUAUAUAUGUAUAUAUAUAUGUAUAUAUAUAUAUGUAAGGAUAAUUGUGUAAAUAUGAUUGAAUGCGACACAAUGACUAGUAUAAAAAUGACUGUGUAUAAUGAUUUGACUUGGAUUGAAUAAACCUGCUAUUUUAUCCUUAUCCUUUGGUUACAUUCUAGCACUCCAACCGCUAACCGUCUCCAGAUGUUAUGUCCCCACACUAUUUAGGGGAUGUAGCAUCUACUUCUUCCACACAAUGAACAGGUGUUCGUCCAGUCCGGUCAUUGGUCUUGAAGUAGUGAGCUUCCAUACUCCGAAAGGCCUACCUUUCAUAGUCACGUUAUUCUAUGUCAUAGAAUUUUAUAGAAUUAGUACUUGGCUAUUUUUGGGGGCAUGUCCUGACAUAUAUUGACUUCGAUUUGGUAGAGGUUUUAUGGAUGAUUGUGAGCUUGGGUAUUUUGGCUAAAUGGUCAACAUUAAUUAAAUAUUAGUUAUUGUCUAAGUACUGACUAUUAGCAUUAUAUUUCCAAUAUCUUAUUAUGAGGUAGGAAUUAAUCCGACCCUCAUGAUUGUUUUAGUGAUGGUUAGGUUGGAUUAUUGAGGCGACCUCUAGUUUAGGUGAGCUUGAGGUGCCCAUACGACAUAGAUCGAUUUUGGGGCGUGUCAACAGUUGACAAAGCACCAAUCGUACCCUGCUAAACUUGAGUAGUGACCAUAUAAGCAAUAACAUGAAUAGACUGAUCGAAUUCUGCAUUAGUCACCUCGCCUUGAGGAGGACAAGUAGAAAUUGGUGGAGCUCCAGAACUAUAAGACACAGGACCGUGAGAUCAAAGAUGAACCCCAAAUGUAGGAUGCACCCCUUCAGCAUCUCCCCAGAUGGGAUAGAGAAUUUCCUCAUGUUCCAGAUCUACAAGACAUGAUCUGAAAGAUGAACAAACAAGGAUUAGAGAAGAUCUAAGGACUGAGACUCAAAUCUUGAAAAUAGAGUACCAAGAAAGUGAAACAUUCCUAAAUUCCUUGAAGCCUCUCCCUUAUGAAUGUGACAUGCUACACACCACUAAAAGAGACUUUACUCGACACGGCUUUGUGGCUCCCAAUUGACCAUGAACCUAGUAUCUAAUACCAACUUGACAUGACCCGGACGGGGCCGACCGGGACCGGAGACCACCCCCGUUACCCAACCCAACCUCCAACCGCUUGCCCUAUGUUUGCUGAAUUUCAAGCGUGUAAAAAGAUAGUGCAGCAAAUCACAUGAAGACUCUGUGAUAAGAUCAAAACUGAGAUUAGCCCAACUGAGUUCAACCAUCCCACACCAACCUCGCAACCAUACCAAACCAUUCCAAAGUCGAUAAACUAGGCCAUAACCCAAUAAGUUCCAAAACAUAAUAUAAGUAAUCCCAAAAUAAAAUACAAUGGAAAAACAAACAAUAUUAUCAACCAGUAUCAACCCCAAUGCUAAUGCCAAUGUUAAGGCAGGUAUCAAUACGGAUCCCGCCCCCAUAUUAGUACCAUAAAGCCUCUAACCAAAAAAGUAAUAAAAUCUAGUUAGUUCAUGCCCCCAACCAUGGCCAAAACCAAUAUCUAAAAUAAAAUAAAAGUGUAUAGAUAUAUCCAUAACAUGAAAUGGAGCCUUCUGAAAGGAUGGAAGCCCACCACUUCAAUCCAAAUACUGAUCCCCGAGUUAAUCACUAUGUAGGAAGAGUAGAACAAUCGGUUCCUGCAUAACAUGGGUGUAUAGCCGCCAGUAGAUGGGUUAGAGGGUGAACGCUAGUAUGAUAUCAAGAUAAGGAUAAAAUAAUUCCAUUUAUAAAGUCAUGUAAAAUCCAUACAUUGCACACAACCAUACAUACAUAUAUAAAUAUAUACAUAUAUAUAAAUAUAUAACUAUGCUAGAAAAUGGAACCAUAUUUAACAUGCAUUUAAAACCUUUACCUGGGCUGUGUAGCUUUGCUAUGCUAAAUAACCCAUGGGUUAUAUGGGUUCAGCACCCCCUGCUGAAAGGGUCACAGCAUGUGAAGCCACGCGACCAAGGAAGAAAACCUUGGAUGACUAGUACAUCCCCCAAAAUAUAGUGUGACAUCAUGUACACGAUCAGUAAAACCAACCUCACAUCGGAAAAUAUGAGUUUCCAAUUUUUUUCUCCUUGGGACCUCCACCUUCCAUGGCUUGGCUACACAUCCUGCCAUUAUUACCCAAUUAAAACCAAUACCAAGCAACUAAUCAACCCAUUUACCAUUUAUUGACCAAGGACAUUUAGUGGUGGUAUCAUCAAACUGACCAUACUUCCAAGCACUAUCCAUAGCCAACUAUAUGUAGGUUUAAGGGAACUUCCAAAUGCCCUUCCAUUUACUAUAUUAAACCACUUAGGGGAUUCCAUGUACCUAAUAAGCAUAACUAUUUAUCCAUGUACCUCUGCAAGAUACUUAAACCAUGUAUAGUUCCUUUACUAAGUUGUAAAACAAGCAAGAAUUCCAUUAAAAGUACUCAAUGCAAUGAAAACAUUAUUAUAGACAUUUUGUUAAACACAUUGGGGGCAGAAUAUAACCAUAAACAAUUCCAAUUACCAUUAAACCAUUCCCAUUCCAUCCAAUUAUCCAAAACCACCAUUAAUGCACAUAAAUCAUAAUUAAACCAUGGAAAACCACAACCAACCAUUUAAUGUCAAAACCACCCAUUCAUAUUUGAAACCAAAAAUUAUAAAAUCAAUGAAGUCAUGAAAACAUUCUUAAAAACCAUACUUCUAGUUAGAAUUAAUAAUUAGGAAAGAGAACAUGCCUUAAACAAAGAUGAUGAUGGAAAGAAAUCAUCAAGACAAGGCCCAAAUUAAUUCUCUAGCUGAAACCCUAGAUUCCCUUGCCCAAAAAAUCUUUUGAGAGAAUUAUAGAGUGUUUUAGAAGAGUUUUCUAAGUGAUAGUGAAUAGAAUAAUAAGGUAAAUAAUCUCGCAAGUAGGUUAGAAGUUGAGAUACCUUAUUAGGAUAAGUGGGGAAAUAUCCAGAAUACCCCCACUUAAGUUGCACUAAAAUCCCAUCACAGGGGUAUGAUUGACCUUCACGAGUUGUACCCUCCAAUAUGAUUGGUACCAUCCACUCCUAUCCUAGCCUCAAAUUUUGGAUCCAACACUGUUCGAUGUAUGACUCAUCCACCCAAGUUUUAUCUAAAGUAUACAAUUCGUACCUUUUAUCCAUACCUUUGAAAAAUUAAACCCAAGGAAGAGUUAGACAUUGUCUACCAUAUGAGUCCAUAGUAUGACUCCUACCCUGGCUUAUGGCUCUGAAUGAUCCACUCGUACUCAGAUCCAACCUAUGAAACUAAAUCUAAGAUUAAGUUAAGGAAAUAAAUGAUCCAUACCCACCUAUACGACUCGACCUAAGUCAUAUCUAUUCUAGUAACCAAAAUCCAUCCCACCAACCAACACUAGUCAGCAUAUUAUAAGACCAUACCAUUCAUACCCCAUUAUACAGCUCAUCAUAUUAGAUCUAGAGACCAUAAUUCCAUGAAAUUUUCUAAGGGUCAAAACCCAGGGUGUUAUGCCAAGUCACCAACAAGUCUUAAUUUAUAGAUAUCUCACUUUUUAGGUUUUUUGCUCUAAAGUAAUGGGUGAAAAAUGGCUAAAAUCCUGAGAUUGAAGUUUAUUUUAUAACCAUAUAGGUUCUUGGGUGCCGCUAUCACUGUCCGAGAACUGUGAUCGCAACUCAUUGCUUCUGAAAGAGAUGUUGUGAUCACAACACUUCCUAGUGCAACCACACUACCAUCUCCUACAAAGGUACCACAAUUGCGGCCCUUAGCUUGCGAUUGCAGCUGCACCAGAUAGUAACUUAAACUUUGAAAUUCUUUAAAGUUUUCAUCAGGUCUUUGGGAUUCAUUUGAAAUCUCAUAUACAUAAACAAACCAUGUAACCAUACCAAAUUUGAUAUUUGGAUUUGAUAGUACACUUAAAAUUUCCAUCUGAGGUCAUUUCAAUCCAAUAUGGGUCCCACACCUAUAUUUAUGAUUUAUCAACUUUCCAACCAGUAUGUCAAAAUAAUAUCGGGUGCCUCGAGACCCAAACCACAGGUCUACCAAGCCUAAAUUGACCUUUCAAAGUUGUUGGCACAGUCAAAAUUUGCAAAUAAGGUCAUUUUACUGAUAUUUGUGUUCUGUGGUCAUUUGGAACCUACGAAGACUUCAAAAUAGGGGAUUGACUCUAAAAAUCAAAUGAACUGCCCAGUAACCAAACUGUUAUCUCUAGCAUAUCAUAAAUGACUUAGGUAAGAUAUUGAAAAGUACUAAUAAAAAAAUAAGUAGAAAUAUUAAAAAUAACCUGAAGGGUUUUUACACACUUUCAUAUAGGUAAAGGCAUCCCGAUGAAAUGUAGGGGUUCACCACACUAUGAGGACCAGGUCCCUUAAAGUCAGUCAUAAGAAAUAACACUGAAAGGCUAUAAGAAAGAUAAAAAUUUGUAGAAAUUUUAAAACACAAAGAUUUAACGUGGAAACUUCCUUGCUCAAAUGAGGAAAAGCCAUUGUUUGCCCUCACAAGUACUUCAACAAUCCACGUUAAUCACCCUCUUCAUUAUAUAUUUGAUUUGAACCUAAAUCUAUGCUCCACAUGCUUGUAAUAACUCUACUACAGCCUACCUUGGCAACUCUUCCAAGAACACACCCAACUCUAGGUUGCACCUGCUUGUAAUAACUCUAUUAGAAGCCUACCUUGACAUAUCUACCAAGAACACAACUCCAUACUAAUUACCUCUAACCAAUAUUGAACUUAGGAAACUCUAUCUAAGUAUACUUUAAUAAAAUAGAGAAAACUCCACUCUUAAAACUUGAGUAAUUCAGUUUCAGACCAAAACUAGACUUAAGAACUCAUGCCCUAUUUUAGUAUAUAAAGAAUUGAGCUUGUGUAGUGUUGCAAAAUUGAGUUUUCACUUCUUUCAUUCUUUGAAUAAUCAGGAUUGUGAAAAUUGCCUUGUUGAGAAACAUUCUUUUUCUUUUAUAGUAGAGUAAUGAUUAGGGUAGAAAUCUGAUGGGGAAAAGUGUUCUAACUGGUACAUAUCCGACCUGCACAGUGGAUUACAUUAGAGAACAAAAUUGUACAGACCUUGUGACAAUAGUAUUUUUUAAUGAAGACUCGGGGACCUAGUCUCUUGUAGUCAAUUUCUCAUAAUAAAAAAGAUAUAGCAAUUUUCCCUCUUUUGAUUAUGACAAACCACAAAACUUGAGAAUCAAAUACUUUCACCUUUUUUAGUCAGAGUAAUUACCUCUACUAUUACUAAAUGUUCCCUCUAUCACUUUACACUUUACUUCCCCUUGUCAAUAUAUUUGUUUUCAUCAAUGUGCAUUUGAGCAUUCUUCCCCCUGUCAAUAUGCUAGAUUUACUUCAUUGUUUUGGCAAUUAGCAUAUACAUUCAACACAUAUCACCUAUGCACUCUUGGUACCUGGUGCCUAAUACAAUAUGUGGUACUUGGUCCCUAAAACAUCAUGUCAUGUCAUGUCAUGCAACACACAUGGUCCCUAUCAUAUGAGUUCAAUAUUCCCCCUUUUGGCAUGAUUGAAAAAAGAAAUAACAGUAAACCAAAGAUAGAGUAAGCAUAUACUAGCUAACUCAAGGCCGCUGGGGCAAUGCCAGCAUAAAGGAACAACUUUAAAAAUAAAAAAGAGAUAGAUAAAACACACAAGCAAAGGAUUCAUUCAUUGUUAAGAGAGAUUAGUACCAUUGCAUUAUACUAUAAUAAGCGUAAAAGUUCUGAUUCAUCAAAAUCCACACUAAUAAUAAGGAUUAGAAACUGACACACAGAGAUGACAAAGUGACACAGGAAUGAUAGGACUUAGGAAAAAGGGGGAUUAUGAGAGAAGGACUUCAGCAACAACUCCAUUCUUGAACUCUCUAUAGCAUGGACAUUUAGCAAUUAUUUAGUGAGUUCUUUAAAUUCUGCAUUCAUACUAGGAACCUCUUGAAUGAGUUCUACAACCUUGAUCUUGAGGUUUGCAAUUUUAGCUGUAAGUUCUUCUGAGGCACCGGGUCUCUAUAGGGAUAUAUUUUGAUUCGACAUCUUUAAAUGCACUAUAUCAACAUCCUUUGUAACCAACUAGACCCUCAUCUCCUUUACCUUCUUAUUUAAAUUCUCUUGAGCAGCCAUAAGUUUUGAAACUUGGGACACAGUUCCUAUCUUUUCUUCAAUGCAUUCAUUUUCCACCAACAUUGUCAAACUAAAUUAAUUUACUAUUCCAGGCAUUCCUUUAGUCCCAAUGACUCAAAAGUAGUCAAACACUUUGUUCAAGAAAUACACAUAUGGCAUCCUGUGUCUUUUUUCUUUCUCAAAAAUCACUUCGUUCAUGUGAUCUACAAUAAGAGUAGCGAGACUUAUCAGAUCAAAUUUGCUCAAACAUUCAAUCAGGAACAAACCAAUAACAGAGGGAAUGGUCUUUCUUUUUUAUCUGGGCAAAAUUUCCUUAUUUAUAAAUUCAAAUUGUAAUUGAAACUCACAUGUGAUAAAUUCCUUCAUCACACUUGCUAUUGAUGUUCUUCCUACUUUAGAAGUAUCUAUCGUGAACUCAGUUGAGGGUUGUUCCUUUACAACAGUCCUCACCCCUAUUACAAGCACAUCUAGGAUUUUCCCUAGUAACUUUUCAUCAAGUUUGACUUGUUUUCCUUUCACUAUGGUAGCCAAGAUUAAAACAACAUCUAAGAAUUACAUAGCAUAAUAGAAUUUUCUUUCCUUACCCUCAAGGACUAUGGCAGUUAGUUCCUUCAAGAGGUAUAGCCAUCCCUGGUGUUCCACAUAUUCUAUUAAUUCAGCCAUGCCUUGAUUCUCAUAAAUCCUAGGAUCAAACACUCUCCCAAAUAAUACAUUCUAUGUUUUUAAAAUAUUAUUUCUUUUCUCACUUGACCUGACCUUUAUUUCUUCCUCUUUUCUUCUUCUCUUGAAAUCACUGCAUGGCUUCUCUUUUUCAACAACUAUUCUCUUUUUGGGACCAGGUCCCUUAGAGAAUUUUUUUCUUUUUCACAGAAAUAUGCUUCUACUUAAUUCUUACAAGGCUAUCUGACUUUGAAGGGAAGGACCUAGUCCUUCUUGAGACAUAAAUUUUUUGUUUUUUUCUAUAUUGUCAAAGUAAUAUCACGAUCAAUGUUUCCACCCUCUCUUAACUCUACAACUUUAAUAUUCUCCUCAUCCACUACAACAAAUUUCUUGAUUCUUCUUCUCUUAAUAUUAGAUGACUUGGUAGCCUUCAUAGUAUUGACUAACAACUUCUUUUCAAAUCCUCUGGUAGAAUAAGAUCUAGCAAUUUUUACACCAGAAUCGAUUGCUUUCUCCUUGCCUUUACUACCUCUUUGUUUUUUCAUAGGCUACCUCAAAGGUAUUUCAUCCUCAUCCUCCUCAUUUAGAGGUAGCACAAUCUCUCUAUCCUUAGCUAGAUUAUUCUUCUUACCAACUGUUUGCUCUUUAGUACUAAUUGAGCUUUCCUUGGGAUCAUAUGUAAGAAAAAGCAAGUUCUUAGCUACCCAAUCUACAUUUCUAGAUAGAUCAAACCUCUUUACAAGAGUUUUUUUAUCACAUAAUAGAGAAAAAAUAGGGUUUGAUUUAGAGGAAGUAGGGGAACCAGGUACUUGAGGGAUUUUUGGGAAUUCAGUAUUUUCUGGUUCCUUCGAAAAAAUAGGGAUUUGAGGGUUUAUAAGUAAUUUAGAUUAUUUUGGGAAGGGAGAAAUUUCAUAUUGAUAAGUUUUUUAUUAAAUAAAUAAACCAAACCCUUGAUUUAAAUCCUCUAUCAAGGUUAAUUCAAUACAAGUUUCGAUGGUUGAGGAUGUUAUAACACGGAUAGGCUAGGUUAAUGGUUGAGGAUUUUCUAGAGAGGACUCAAUAAGAAGAGUUGACAUAGAUUAUUAUUGAGGACUUAAGGAGAAGUCUCUACAGUUUUGGAUAUUAAGGGAUCAAAAGAAUCACUUUGUGAUUGUUCUGAUUACCUUUUUUGAGCUUUAUAGACUUUAGGAUCUUUUUACAGAGGUUGAGAAAGAGGAAAUGUUCGCCAUUAUAAUAUAUUAUGAGUUAAAGAGCAAAGGAACAGUUUGAUUCAAAGAUGAAGGACAAUUGGAAAAGAUGAAUUGAUUUAACUUUUGGAAGAGAAUAGAAUAAGAUAUCUUUAGUUUGGAGAUUUGAGGGAAGUGGUCAUUGUCAUCAAAGGUGCCCUUUUUGAGAUGACGCAUCUUACUUUAGUUGGGUGACUCUUCCAUUGCUUAUGAAUUGAUGGUCUUUGCUCAAAUAAGACAUGGCGCAUUGCUUUUUAGAUAAAAUUUCAUGAAUAUUAAAGAACACUACUUUGGUACUAACCUUUAGAGAUGGGACAAGGUCCCUUUCUUUCUUUAAAGAAUCCUAAAUCUUGUACAAGCCAUGUUUGUCCUCUUCUAAAGUUAUUGCCAUGGGUGUAUACCUUCAAAGGUAUAGUACUGAGUUAUACCAAAAUAUUCUUACUUUACUAAGGAAACCUAUCUCCUGGUCAUAGCUAAAUUUAGGAAGAGAACUGGAUCAUUUAGUAGGUCAGAUCAAUUUGAUCAAUUCCAGCUUUAACUUGUUUGUUUCGAUACACCACUUUAUUCCAGAGAUAGUUUCAAAAAUAGAUUUGAAGACUAAAUCCCAUAAUUGGCAUCCUUUAAAUUUCCAACAUUCCUUCUGCAUUGCCUUUAAUUAGCUAGCAUCUUUCAGAAUCUUCUUUCACCUUUUUAGCUUACUUUGGGGACAGAAAGGCUAAGUAGACCAUUGGAUUUCUGAAUUAAGCUCUUGUUUAGAACCCAGAAUCUAAAAGAUGAAGUCAUAAUGUCAAGAGAGAAUCUUUCUAUCCAGUUAGACAUUUUGAGAUAAGUUUUAUAGGGACCAAGUCCCUAAAAAGCUAGACUGGAACCUUCAUGAUAUUUCUUCAACUGGAGAAGGGGUUUGUAACUGAUAUCUUGGAUCAUCAUUCAUCAUUUCCUUCUUUAAAAAAUUGUCCUUGACCAUCAUCAUUAUCAACAUCUUCCCUUUAAAUAGGAAUGAGUUCUUCAAUGUCAGAAUCUUCAUUAUCGCCCUGAUUCAUUAGCUAUCCUAACUCAUCAAGGACCAUAUGUACAUUUUCAUCAACACAUAGAGUUUAUUUGAUGAAAACUCUAUAUGCUUAUCUUAUUUAGAUGUUUCCCAUACAUACAACUUUCUCCUUCACUUAAGACUUGUUCCCAGGAAAUUUCAAUUUUGGCAUUCCAAGGACCAGAUCACUUGAAAUUAACUAGUUCAACAUAAAGAAACUUGUAUGUCCCAUAAGUCAGCAUCUUAAUGUUAAACACCAUAGUAAGUUACUACCCAUUACCCAUAUAAAAUUCUUAUCCUUUUUACCAUUUCCACAUGAGACACCUCCACCUUAAAGUGUCUUGAGAGAGAGAAUAAAUUCAGACUUUGUAGUCAUAUGAUUUGAAUAACAACUAUCAAUGAACUUAUUCUGACUACAAAACCCUUUCUCCCUCCUACAAACAAAAUCAUUUGUUAGAUUAGGGAACCUACUUGAGUUUGAGUUCCUUGUAGGAUGAAAAGGGUGUAAUCAAAUCCUAAUUGGCCUAUAUUCAUAAUAAGAGUUUCUUCAUAGUUUUCAAAAGUCUGGAACCCUUAGGAUAGGUUUAUCCUUGCUGGAUAUAUCUAACACUACUCAUUCUAUCUUUAUUCAAACUUUUAUAGUUUUUCUUCAUGUGACCAUCUCCCCUACAAUGAGUGCAUAGAGGUUUUUGAACUUUGUUUUUGAAAUAUUGAAUAGCUUUGAUUGAAGACAUAGGUGAUUGUGUUUUUUACUGAUACCCAAUACCCUUACCAUUUUUGACACCUUGACUAGUAAAAUUAGAAAGGAUCUAUGAGGAUUUGGUCCGCUGAAGAGAUUUACUAAAUUCUUCUCUUAGAUGGACCAUGUCCCUUGCUAACUUAUCAUUAUUUUGGAGUGCAUUCAUGAGAUUCUUUUGGGAAUCCUUCAAUUUUUCUUCAAGAUCAAUUAGAAACUUUGAGGUUCCUUUCUUUCUUUUACCAUUUGAAUCAUCUACUUCCUCUAGUUGACUUAUCAAACUCGGAUUUUUAGAUUUCAACUUUAAAAAUUAUUCCUCAGUUUCAAAUAUUUUGGGAUUUAAAAUAUUUAAUUUAAACUCUUGAUCUUCUAGAACAUUUUUCUCAACAACCAGUUCACACAUAGAAUCAAUCAACACAUUAGAAAGCCUUUUUUAUCUUUCUAGUAGAGUGGUUUUCCAAGUUUUCUCUAAUGUUAGAGAGAGUUACCUCACUUUUUUCUUCAUCUUUAAUGUUUUCUAUGAGAUAAAACAAGGAAUUAAAGGUUACUUUCUCAUCAUCCACUUCCAACGUGGAAACAUCUUUAUGCUUCCCAUCUUCUUCAAAUUCACUGGAAGAAUCCCCCAGAGAGCUAAGCUCUUCUUAACUACAAAAUUAGAUGCAACCUUUCUUCUUGAUUUUAUAGAGACCUAUUUCCUUCUCUUACCUCUGUCAACUCCAGUCUUGUGGUAUCACUGUUAAUCUAUUUUAUGCAAAGCACAAUCCUUGAUGAAAUGUAAGGAUUUCCACAUUUGUGACAAACUUUAAGAGAGCCUCCCUUCUUGAUUCUGCUUCUUCUUCAUUAAAACUGAUUACUUAUCUUUAUUGACCUAAAAAUUCUUCUUUCCAUAUAGGGAGUAUCAGUUUCUGCUUCACAUAAAUCUGACCUACAAGCCUUCAAUUCUAGAGAUUUUACUCUUUUUACUUCCUUCUUCUCUUGCCCUUGAUGCUUCUUGAGUUCAUGUGUCUUCAGAUUAACAAUAAGCUCAUCCAUAGUGAUAUUUUUAGGUUUCUUGCCUCAAUGAUAGCAUCCACUUUGCUUUCCCAGGAUUUAGGCAUAACUCCCAAAUAUUUUUCACCUAUUUGUAAAAGGAAAUCACUUUUUCUAAAUAGUGCAACUCAUUGGUGAUUGAAGUGAAUAUUGUAUGAAUAUCUUAUAUAGUAUCUCCUUCUUUCAUGGCGAAGGUUUCAUACUAAGUAGUUAGCAUAUCAACUUUUUUAUCCUUCACAUAAGUGGUUUCUUCAUGAGCAGUAAGCAAUCAAAAAUUUCUUUAGCAUUUUCAAAAGCAGAAAUCCUAUUGUAUUCAUCAAGCCCUAUACCACAAACUACCAGUUUCUUGGCCUUAGAAUUCUUCUCAACUUUCCUUCUAUCUUCAUCAUCAUAUUCUUUCUAGAUUUUUAUAACUAUACUUGUUAUGUCUCCUUCGUUGACCACUUUAACAGGAAAACUAGGACCAUUAAAUAUUAUAUCUAUCAACUCACUAUAGUCAUCCAUAAUAAAGUCAAACAUCCUGGUUUUCCACCACCUAUAGUACUUCCCAUUAAAUUUUUGUGGUCUAGUGGUAGAUUUACCUUCUUCCAAAUUAGGUGGAGCAGCCAUGAUAACCAAAUCACUCUAGGUGUGAACCUUUUAGAGUGUUCUGGCUCUGAUACCAAUUGAUAAAACAUAGUGGUUGCACCAUACUAUUAGUGACCAGGUCCCUUAAAGUCAGUCAUAUGCAAUAACACUGAAAAACUGUAAGAAAGCUAACACUUCACAGGAAUUUAAAAACACAAAGAUUUAACAUUGAAACCUCCAUGCUCAAGGAAGGAAAAAUCACGUCUUUCCCUCACAAGAACUUCAACAAUCCACUAUAAUCAACCUCUUGAUUACAAAUUUGAUUUGAACCUUACUUAUAAUGCCCCAGGUUUUGGUCAAUAAAAUUUUCUGAGGUCUAAGCUUUCUGCCCUAUUAACAACUCACCUAAUGAGUCAUAAUAUGUCUUGAUGGUUCAGGUGACCAUAGCCGUAAUGUGUCCAGUAAAUAGUGCUUGAGUUACUUUCCUGAAUACAAUUUGGGUGUACGAGUCGUAGGAAAUCUUGACAGGUCCUAUGGACCCAAUCAUAACCAAAUUAUAAAUUAAGCGACUAAGUUAUUCUAUGAGUAUGAGUUGCUAACUAUAAGCCAAAAGGACUUACUAUGAAACAUUGGGUGCAAAUUGUAGGAUGUCCAGUGUUUACCCAAUUAGGUUUUGUGUUGACUACGACUGGACCCUAUGAGUCAUAGGGUCUCAUUACUAGUAGUACUAGUUGAGUCGUAGGGUAAAUAGUGUGUGAGGUUCCUAGAGAAAAUCUUGGUUAUGAAUCAUGGUGAGGAGUCAUAAGGAGGGGCUACGAGUCAAUGGUUGACCCGUAGUUAAUGGCGGUAAUUUUUUAGCUUUUAAGUUAUGGGCAUUCUAGACAUUUUUCCUCCUACCAAAAUUGCAACCAACAUCUUAUAACCCCUUUAGGGUGUCAUUAGAACUCAAAAAAAAAAAUCUAAGUAGCUUCUCAAACACUCUAAAAGGCUCUCUAAAUUCCCUCAAGCAAGUCAAGAUAUCAUUUCAUCAAUUUGGUCAUCUAAGGGCUCAAGGGUUGAUUUAUCUCCAAAUAUAUUGAUAUGUAAGAAAUGUCACUCUUCCGUCAUUGUUAAUUUGUUAAAAGAACAUAUUUUAAAGUAUUGUUCAUGAGAUAUUCAUGUGGUUUUAUAAAAAGGGUUGAUGGUUUUGAAUGCUUGUUGUUGAACAAUGUUUUCCCAUGGUUUAGAUAUGAUUUUUCUUGCUUUAAUUAUGGUUUUGAACUUGUGGGUGCAUGGGUAUGGUGAAUUAACCAAGGAAUUUUGAUUUUCUCCAAACUUGUGACUUUUGAAGUAGCUAUGACCCUAACCCCAUAAUGUGAAAUUGUUUUUAAUUAUGAGAAAUGUUGAAAUCCAUAAAGUUGAACCAAGGGUUUGUGAAUUUCCAAAAGUGUUGUAAUUGUUUUGGCAUGUUGUUGUUACCUUACAAGUGUAGUUGGUAUGACGAUACCAACAACGUAUACCUAAAUGUGUAUUGAGGUUCAAUGAAUAAGAUUGUGUAAUAAAUGUUUUAAUUGGGCUUUAAUGGGGGUUGUGUAGCUGAGUCGUAAAAGUGGAGGUCUGAGAGACCGAUAUUAGAAAUCGCAUUUGCCAGCAUGGGGAUCAAAGUUACCAGGGAGGUUUGAGUCCUAAUCAUUAUUAUUACAUUAUUAGAGAGGUUCGAGUCCCUCAUAAAUCAUCACAUGAUCGGAUGCUUAAUUCACCUUAUUAUAUGAUUAGGAGGUUCGACCACCCGUGCAUAUAUAUGAGAUUUUUCUCCGGUUUAUAUGGCUACAGGUACUGCAACCCAACUACUAGGUGAGAGCUGGAGUCCAUAUAGCCCAUGGGUACAUAUUAUGAUGGUUGAGCUACAUAAUCUAGGCUAAAGUUUUAAAGGGCAUGUUAAGCCUUGUUCCCUAUCCCGUUAUGUAAUAAAUAUAUGUAUAUACAUUUGAUUAUGCGCAUUAGUUUUCAGUGACUUUGAAUAGUUGACUAUGUCAUUAUGUUAACCUUAUCCUUUAGUUUUAUGCUAGCGCUUCAAUUGCUAACUAUCUUCGGACAUUGUAUCCCCAUGAGAUGCGGAAUUGGUCAUACUUCUUUUCCUUCUGCUUAUAUAUUAGGAUUUGGGAUCAGCUUAUGAGUUGACAUCGAAGUGGUGAGUGGUGAUGUCCAAGAUACACCUCCACUUUGAAGAUGAUAUGGCCACUGAUAAAUAUAGUAACCCAACAAAGGUUAGGUUCGAAUCCCAAAGAAAUAUAUGGAAUCAUUGCUCUCAGCUGUUGUAAUCAACGAUAGGAACUUAAAAAAUAAAUGAGGGUUUUAAGGAGCAAUAUCAAACAGUUGACAAAUAUCAACUUCGGUUGUAAUCAGUUGCAAGUGAACACUUGGACUAUGUUCCUUCUGGUUUCUCAACUCCGUAGACUUAUCAUGCUUUGUUGAACCAACUCGAUGCCUUGCAUGUAGGAUAGAUAAGUGAUGUACCUUCUACAGUUGUUUGGAUGAGUAGAAGGAUUUCACCCUUUACCUUUUAAGUCUUAGGAAGUCACCUUACUAACCUUUAUCUUGAUCCCAAUUAACUAUUACCUUUUGAAUCAGUAGUUAUUAGAUUAAAUUCGACCAUCUUACUUAUCUAUAACCUAGUAGUGUGGAUCGAUAAUUAAACUCCAAAUAACUAUUUUCAUUAUCUUUUCCUAGUUACUACCACUCUUUUGGAGUAAGUAGCAAUAAUCUAGGCAAGAUCCUAAUGUGUAUACCCAUUAAGAAAACAAUUAGCGUGAAGAUAACACAAUGCAUCCAUAGGUAUUGGUUCAAAACGACAAUAGUAGAUAACACAAUGUAUGCAUGGGUAUCGGUUCAAAAUGACAAUAGUACUUCCCUCACUUCAUCAAUCUGCUAGGGUUCCCACAACCCUAGCUAAGGGUUUUUUAUCCAUUCAUGCUUGUGAAGUAAUCAACAACAUUCAUAAUUGAAAGUAUAAGAUGAAAUCACAAUAAUCACAAGUAUAAUUGCUCCAAUAAGUAGACAAAAACACCUUUUUCCUCUUUUCCAUGAACACAGCAUCCAAAAUAAAAGUUUUUGGAAAACAUACCCAAAAAUGGAUCAUAUCUAACAAAACAACCUUAGAAAAUUGCAUAUUUUCCUCGUUUUAAGCAUCAAAGUGAUAUAUUUCUAUAGCACAUCAAUAGCACAUCAACACCAUUAACUUAGAACAUUUGCUUGUCCUUAAGAAAAAAAACAUAACAAAAUAAAAAAAAACUAAACACGAUGCUUAACUAUGAGAAUUUAAGUUAUUCAAGGUAGUCAGUCAACACUUUAAGCUUAUAACACAAUACCCCCUCCUAUCUUAUAUAAAUAUGAAGAACAACAAUGUGAUAUAAUGGGAUCAAGGUAUGGCAUUACAUUUGCACAGACAACCACGCAUAUGUACAAGUUACACUACCAAAACACGUAAGCAGCUAGCAAUAUAACUCAUGUGCCCUCAUAACAAAGACAUCCCACUGACUCAUAUGAAACAAUGCAUGUUAAUGCAGGGACAGUCAAUAGACACUCAUAUUCGAAAGAGAAGUUUUAAUCAAUGUACAUCAAAUACCAUAGGCUUGCACUUAUUUUCUUUACCUUAGCAUUCAGAUAGUCAAGUUUGGAUCACUAUAGCAUUUUUAUCAGCUUGUAAUAUAGGCUUGGGGGAUGUUAUGGUACAUAUGGACCUAUGAAGUGACUAAGCCUCCAUAGAACUAAACUAACCUUGUGGUCUCACUUACUGGCUAGUUUUUUUUAUACCACCCUUGUUUAUCAGUUUUUACUCUUUAUUGCACAUUCAAGUUGGGUGUGGUCUUUUAUUUAUUCUUUCUUUCUUACUUUUAAUCACAACUUUUAUUUCCUUUUUAUUUUGCUACCACACCUAACACUACUAACUUUUUCUCUUGUUUUACCAUUCUACAUACCCACUUUACACUAUACACCCCUAUGAUAGCCACCCUUAGGCAUUUUUCCUAAGUUGAGGUGUGCAAUGUCCAAGGAGAACCAGAGUUAAAACAGGUUCAUUGUAACACAACUGGGAAGGUGAAAUAUGAAAUAAGAAAAAUAGGAUAUAAUGCUCAAAAUGGGGAUCAAGGGAUACUAUUUCACAUAGGGAAGGUCAUUUAGGCUAAAAGUGGUCUAAAAUAAAAAAUGACCUAUAUUUUUUCCUAACCAACUAUUCUUCAACCCAGGAAAGACUAAUAGGCAAUUUUUGAAUUCAACACACAAAGGGAACUAAGUGGCAUCUCACACACACAUGGCUCAGAGUCAACAUUAUAAACUACUACUUAUUUGGUUCAUGCAACUGUUGGCAAGUGAUUAUUAUGUUUCUAAUCUUAAUGCCAUAACAAGAUCCACAAUGUUCACACAUAUAUACAUUCACACAAUUAUAAAAUUCAAAUUUUAUGUGGGGUAUCAAAAGUAAUCAAAACAUGAAAACUACCUUAAAUAGUUUGAAAUUUCCUAAUUACACAAAAAUACAACACAAUAUGAAACAAAACACAAUAUGACAUGAAUUAACCUAGACAUGCAGAUUCUACAACCAUACCGCAAUCGAUAGGAAAAGAAGCACGAUGAUAACACCCUCAAUGGCUAUGGUAUAUCCAACCCCCAAUUAAAAAACUGCAUACAAUCGUCAAUGUGUUAAGAUAAUACAAAACAAAGGGAAGUGAAAACAUACAUGGGACACACUAAGCAUUUGUGUCAUGAGCAUCCCAAGAUGAGGGAAUCUCACUUGGCGGAGGCGAUGGUGGUGGCAGUGCACUACUAGAAGAUACACCUAUUGUUAUCCCGUCAUGCCUUUGCCUCUUAACAAAUGCAUAAUCUAUCGAAUCAUGUAUAGCCAUUUUAACGACCUGGUCAUAUGGCAUAUCCAAAUGCUAUAAGUUUCUUAUGUGACUUUUCUUGGCCCCAACUAUCGGGACCUUCUCAUUAUCUUUUGCAAAAGAAAAUAUCUAGGUACGUGUGGAGGUAAUAUCUAGACCACUAGGGGUAUGACUAUGUUAGUGGCUGCUACAUGGAUUUCUAUAAGAGAGUGUACCUCUGCUCACAAUAUAUCCAUUUCCUCUUUCAUCUAGGCUAGAUUUGGUACCUCUAUCUCUAUAAAUUGGGUUGUAACCUAUCUAUCAAACUCAUUAAGACAUGCCUGUAAGUAAGUACAUAGCUCAAGAAGGGUAGAUCUCUAUACGACCUCCUAUCUAGCUUCUGUCCUAUUAAAUUUAGUCUGAACCCCUAAAUAUAUUACAUCAAAUAGGGUAGUCAUCUCAGUCUCAACAACCCAUAAUUGAGCAUUAGUAUCCCUCUGACUGUCCAUUACGCUCUGCAAAAACUCUUGAGAUAUUGUAAUAAUAUCUAUAGCAGAAGCUGUAGUGGAUGGGAAAGUUAAAAAUAUUCCAAUCGACUCUCAGGUCAAAGUCGGGGCUGAUGAAGAAGUGGAUGAUGUCCUCUCAUCCUGAGUACUCAUAUUUGGGGCCUCUGUCUGUUCCCCUAUCUCAUUAUAAACACUAAUAUCCAUAUCACCUCUAUUUGUAUUACCUGGAUCUAUGGAAAUUGAUGGACCCUCAAUCUAGGCUCGAGGUACUAUGGUAGGCUCACUAGAUCUCUUGAGAAGGCCCGAAUGUCCUAGAUCCAUCAUACUCUUCAUCUGUAUGGUAGCUAUCAUAAGUACCCUCUCAUCUACUCCCGAUAUCUCUAGUACCCAGCCUCGUCACAUAACCUCUGAAUCAGGCAAGGGAAUGGCACCAAGUUCCCUUCCCAAAGUGGGAACAAGUUGAUGCGACCGAUUAAAGAAGAAGGACAACUCGCAAUGGUACUAUGGCUAGUUGGAAAGCCUUUCAAGCCAAUCUCUUGAUUCACAUUCAUAUGAAACCAUUGCAACCGAUCCUGCAUACCAAUCAUCCGCCGCUUAAAGUAAUGGCCAAGGUUUCUAUAGAUUCAGUCCUGUGGAAAAAUGGUGUUGUGGGCAAUUCAGUGUGUAGUGUCACCCCUGGGACACUAGCGAGUCCGUCCCUAAAAAUUAGGUCCAUGAAGCCAGAGUGUUGUCGCACUAAACGACUACCUUCCUUAGAUACUCCAAGCCACAAUCUAUAUUGUCCUUGAACCUAGACCAUGGAAGGUUGGUUAUAGUCCCAUUCUAUUAGUGGGAUCCAUAGCCCGCGGGUCUUUCCCAAGCCAGCAAAGAAGAAGGUAGUCUAGGACUACCCUAAGCCUAGAAGAGAAGUAGGCAGGACUUUCAGUUACAAUGUCUAGGUUGGGCAAGCCGCCUUUCGCCUUUCUAAAGCCAAUCGAUUAUCGGAUUUCACCAAGCUAACUACCACUACCUGGGAAUUUAUAGAUCCGCUCUAAGAUAGCAUUAAGAUUCCAAACUCCAUGAAAGCAGGAGAUUUAUUAGCUAUAGUCAAAUCUCGUGACGGUGAUCAAAGAGCAUUAGCUACGAUACUACAACCUCUGCUCCUGACCCCCAGAUCGAAACGUUACGAUUCACUCCGGUGCUGCUUGCUGGUGGAGGUUGGGAGUAUCUCAACUAUGAAUAAGAAGUCGAAGAAGCCCUAGAUCCGCCUCUUACUUACCUACCUUCCCAGACUAGCUAGUCAGGGCGAAGCAUUCGUCAGCAUUAGUAGUUUUGGCACGAUAGACUCAUGAGAUGUGACCUCAUGAUGGGUCGGUGGGAAUGGCUCGUGAUCGUGCAUUCAAUCAAUUUCCCUUGGAAACAUUGGAAAUGAUGGUCAAGGUUUGCCGUAAAUAAAUAGAUGAGUUCGAUUCAAGUAUCCAAACAAGAAUACGGUUCAGAUACCCCAAACAAGAAGCCACUUAGGAUUUUUGCUUUUUCUAUCCCGGAGGGAGGGUCUCAUGACAACGCCUUUCUCUGCGGUCUCUAUUCGUAGGAAUAGAAUCAUCCAAGUAAUUGUGUCUAUCACUGAAGGCAGUCAAGAGUCACUCAGGGCUAUUGUACUUGUACUACUCAGCUGUUAUAGUCCAUUAGAGUGUUUGAAAUCCCUGAAUCCUGACUCUGUACGGAGCAGUAGGCUUGAGUUAUAGUCCGUAUCCCGUACUACUUGUCUGGAGUAGGAAAGAGUGUGAUCUCAGUUUCCUAUCAAGUCAAAGGGAGACCACGAGGGUCUUCCUUAUGGUUCGCUAUAGUCUAUUAAUAAUUAAUAUGUCUAAUAAUCCUUCUUGUCCGGUAAGCAAAAGCAAGCAAGGGAGCCUCUGGCUUCGUCCCUUCAUCUCGCCACAACACAAGCUGUGGUAUAAUCUGUCUAUACCUCACUCGGUUCAGUAAGAUAAAGAUAUGGUUUGAUGUGUGAGGCCUCUCUUCACUAACUAAAGUCGCUUCCUCGUGAACUCCGUUAACUAGGCACCCCUCUCCAAGUAGUCAGUCUAUUCUCUCGUGGAGAAAGCCUUACUCUCGUUUCGUUCGAACGUAGCCCGCAGGAGUCAAGGGGUUGUAGGGGCGACUUCCAGAGAUAAUUACGGCGAGGGAAGAUGAAUAGCAUUCUUCCUUCGCAAAUACCGACUUCACCAACCCCUAACCCGGCUAAAUAGUUUGAUGCCUGCAUUUAAACUAACUCACCAUAUGUUAGUAUGCUAGUGUGCGGCUGAGAAAGUAUAUAAAGUAUAUAGAGGGAAAAGGUUUUCAAAAAGCCAUUCUCGGUGACGACAUUGUUAUCGUCGACGAAAAGGUUACAAACGUGUAUACGGCCCCCUGAUAGGACUGUGACCUAACUAUGACCUAACUAUAUCGGUCAAAAAGUAGCUAGUCUCUGACAAAGGUGCUCUUGAGUUCGCUAAGCCAUUUAUAUGCGAUGAAGGUGGAACGGAUUUAUCUCUAAUCUCCUUUCGCCCGUUCACUCAAUACUCAGUAGCAGCUCCCGUAUUCGCGAUUCGCGAGGGUUGAAAAUGGAUUUCAAACAAUAUGAACAACAAUAACUCGACAUUCUCAAGUUCACCAAUUGAACAAGUCCGGCAUAUCGUCGCAAAGUAGUACACUCAAGUGGACUCCACCUAAUGGACGGAUACAGAGAUAGUAUCCAGAAAGAUCUUGGGAUUACAUUCGUCAAACCAAAUAUCUUUAGCAGUCGCAAAAGAGGUGACGGGGCUCAAAGGAAGUAAACAAGUCAUCCUUUGAAGCUAAGCACUUUUCAUCUUUUGUAGGAAAAUCCCCUUCUCUAGUCUUGGGAAAUUGAGCGACCCAUCCACAUAAGCACAAGAAUUUUUUUCCCGAGCAAAUCAUUCUUCAUCGCAUAAGCCCAUGACAAGUCAUUUCCAGAUGCUUCUUUCAGAAGAGCACGGGAAAAACCUAUGGAAUCCAUUGUACUAAGAACUAAGACCCAAAAGAUCAUCUAAGGACUGAAAAUCGGGACUCAAAACUAGUUAAGAAGGCUUAAGCUUAACUCAAGCAAUCACUCAAGAGAAGCCGGAUUCAUAAAAGAAAGAAGAAGAAGUUCCAGCCAAUUUUGAUUUUGAAUGAUAAGGAAGCGCUUGAUCUGGGUCUUAGAAGGGCAUCGAGAUCAAGGAGAUCGUGAGAUCAAAGUGGACGUUCCCGAUUUCCAUGGCCGAUUGCAUCUUUGCAUCCUGAGGACUUUCUUGAUUGGCUAAGUAGCGUAGAGAAGUUCUUUGAUUGGAAAGAACUACCCGAGGUGUGCGAAGAUGAAAUUCCUGAGCAAAAAUAAGGAACGCUUUCUCGACGCUGUAGAUCAUGCAUGACUGGCUUGUCCAAAGGAGACGGGAAGUUCUUUUCCCCUUUUGUUAGGCUUUGCUGGGAUGAUGUCUCGUUCUUCGUCACGCUGCCCAUGACUGGAUAGGGGUAGCGCCAUAGACCGUCUCUUUGGCUUAGAGUCGUUUCAUGAGCGAGGGGGCUAAGCGCAUACACGCUUCCUUCGGAACCUGACUCUAUCUUCGACUACCAAAAAGAAAGCGAAGGAGAGCCACUUUUUUUUAUAGUAUAGAGUAGGACUGAAAUUCCAAGCGCUCCUAGCUCAGAAACCACACACAGACAAACACAUGGAGGCCCAUAAAACCCAUAAAUAAUAGACUAACAAAUAUACGUGACAUACACUUCCUGUGUGAAGUUUUCAUCUUAAUGAAUCAAAGCUGUUUGUAAAAUGCUACUUUUCUUUCUGCAACAAGUAAGAGUACUUUUUCUUAUCAUAUACCCUUAUGAAUGAAUGAAUCAAAAAAAUGUGACUCCACAAAUAGUCCCC
This 48130-nucleotide long non-coding RNA is filed under the name Capsicum annuum. RNAcentral's name for it is "long non-coding RNA (CANN_LNC010167)". The record is from RNAcentral. Lineage: Eukaryota; Viridiplantae; Streptophyta; Magnoliopsida; Solanales; Solanaceae.